Oryctolagus cuniculus (rabbit) is the source of this 47781-nucleotide non-coding RNA. The record is from RefSeq and is a predicted model, not a curated record. NCBI's taxonomy places the organism in Eukaryota, Metazoa, Chordata, Mammalia, Lagomorpha, Leporidae.
CUCUCCCUCUCUCUCUGCCUCUCAAAUAAACAACUCUACUUGAAUAAAUAGAUUCUGCUACUCAUAUUACAAAUGAGAGUGAAGUAGUUACCCUUGUGUUGAGUUAUUUGAAUAUUUGGGAAUUAGAAAGGUGCAUAUGAAGGAAAAGAACUUCCAUAUUGGAAUUUUUUUUUUUUUUUUUUUAAUUUAAAGGCAGAGUUACAGAGAGAGGAGCAGACACAGAGAUAGAGAUGAGGGAUGAGGGGAGGGAGGGAGGCAGAGGGAGAGAGGUCUUCUGUCUGCUGUCUCACUCCUUAAAUGGCUGCAAUGGCCAGGGCUUGGCAGAUCAAAUCCAGGAGCCAGGAGCAUCUUCUGGGUCUCCCACAUGGGGGCAGGGGCCCAAGCACUGGGGCCAUCUUCCCCUGUUUUACCAGGCCACAGCCGAGAGCUGGAUCUGAAGUGGAGCAGCUGGACUGGAACUGGCGCCCAUAUGGGAUGCCGGCACCAAAGGCCGAGGCUUAAGCUACUAUGCCUCUGUGCUGCCCCGAGAUUGUUUUUUCUUAGUUAAGAAGACAAGAGAAUUUUGACUUUGAUCGAAAGGAUUAAGAAUCACAGUAUAGGGGCCGACACUGUGGCGUAGCGGGUAAAGCCGCCGCCUGCAGUGCCGGCAUCCCAUAUGGGCACCAGUUUGAGUCUUGGCUGCUGCACUUCUGAUCCAGCUCUCUGCUAUGGCCUGGGAAAGCAGUGGAAGAUGCCCAAGUCCUUGGGAACCCUGUACCCACGUGGGAGACCCAGAGGAAGCUGCUGACUCCUGGCUUCGGAUCAGCGCAGCUCCAACCGAUGCAGCCAGUUGAGGAGUGAACCAGCGGAUGAAGCGCGUUCUCUCUCUCUCUCUGCCUUUUCUUCUCUCUCUGUGUAAUUCUGACUUUCAAAUAAUUUUUUUUUAAAAGGAUCAUGGUAUGAUAAUCUCAUACCGUAUCUUUGUUUGCUUACUGCACUGGAGUGUGAAACUGUUCUCUGAGACCAUCUGGGGUGGAGAAGAAAAGGACAAGGGCCCCUGUUGUCCUAUCUUGGAGUUAGGUCAUGGGCACUGAAAGCAUCCUCAGUGGGACUACCACGUGAGGGACGGAUCCAGACAGCAACGCAUCUAGGUAGGAAGGCAGAAGAGUUUAUAAAAUUCCCAGGAAACAGAGUCUCAAGCCAUUUGGUGCAUUUAGCUAAGUAACAUUUGCAGUGAAUGGGUCAGUGUACCGUAAGGCGUAACUGUAAAGUUGAAGGAGGUGCAUUUUUGCUCUGUCGACUGCGUCUGCCGUGUGCUGUGCUGUGAUGCCUGGUGCACUGGGAGCCGCAGAUGAGUAAGGCGGAGGGCAGGGAGCUCAAAGGUCAGUGAGGGUGACCCUCAAAGGAGGAUUCACAAAGCAGUGUGUUCGUGCAGCGAGGAGGCGGUCUGGAAACCGGGAAAAGAGCCGGCGCUUGCAGCCGGCAGAUGAGACUAAUUCUUUGUAUUGAGAGGAUUGCUGGCGCUGCGGUAGCCUCUGCUCUGUGUUUUGUUCAGCCCCAUUUCAGCUAAAUGCUGUAAUAUUUAGGGCAUCUUAUGCAGCGUCAAACACAUCAAAGCAUAGAGUGAUGAAAGAAGGUUCUGAGGCAUUUUUACUUUCCAUUUGGGCAUAUAUCCAGAAUUCACAGAAAAUUUAAAGUGUUUUUUCCUUAAAGGUUACUUUGGUGAUUUUAAAUUCUAAACAAUCGUUGCAAGUAUGUUAAGCUUGUUAUAAUGUUAUAUUUUUUUAAGUAAGACUUGUUAAAAGUCUUUAUUUUGUCUAGAAUUAGCAAGUGGACAGCGAGCAAAGCAGGCAGAUUUUUUGUCAGGCAUAAACAACUUUGCAUCCUGUUGAUCAAGUAGAAAAUGCCUCAGUGAAUGCCAGGGCUAAAAAUACAUUCCUUCAGGUUUCUGGUUUUGUCAGAUGAGGGGUGGAGUCAUCAAACAGGAAGCAGGAAAUCCAGUAAACAGGAAUUGUGUCCUGAGAGAAUUCGCAGGGGACGUGGGGGCUCUCGCGCUCGGUUUCGGCUGAGUGACGUUUCAGCGCCAGCAGCACCUAUCUGAGAAUGCUGCAUCUAAUGCAGUGCCAAGUGGCGUUCUCUUUGCUGACUCCUGCCGGUGAUAAAUCAUCUUUGUAAGGUGGCGCGUGGUGGAUCGAAGAUCUGCAAGUUAAUUCAGUUAUGUUGUCGCAGAUCAGUCAAUUGUGCUCAUUGUGUAUUUUAAAGAUUUACUUAUUUUUAAAGAUUAUUUAUUUGAGAGCUUGUUUGGAGGUUCUAGCAGGGGAGCGCAGCUACUCGUAUACCCUUGACCGAAGACCUGGUCCUCCUCUAGCGGGGAAGGACGUACUCUUCGACCGAGAGUGCAGCUUCGAAAGAUUAUUUAUUUGAGCGGCAGAGUUAUACUAAGAGGGAGAGGCGGGAAGAGAGAUAUGUUCCUUCUACUGGUUCGCUCCCCAAAUGGCCAACACGGCCAGAGCUGGGCCAGUCUGAAGCCAGGAGCCUGAAGCUGCUUCUGGGUCUCCCACGUGGGUGGAGGGGCCCAAGGACACGGGCCACCUUCUGCUGCCUUUGCAGGUGCAGAAACAGGGAGCUGCAUUAGACCCGGAGCAGCCGGGAUUCAAAUGGCACUCACGGGAUGCUGGUGUCACAGGUGGUGGCUUAACCCCCUGUGCCACAGUACCAGCCCCAGACUACUUACUUGUCUUUAGCUUUAACGCUGCCAAUGCUUUACACUGUAAGGAGACAGUUUUUCAGUUUAGAUAGCAGUAGCUUUAGUGUAGUGUAAUAUGGUUAGUAUAGUUUCAGUAGUAGUAUAGCCAAAUGUUUCUAUGUUUUCCUCUAUACAGGGGCACUUUGCAAGGUUAAUGGGAGGGGCAUGGCCCUGUGGCAUAGAAGACUAACCCUCUGCCUGCAGUGCCAGCACCACAUAUGGCCCUGGCACCUACAUUGGAGACCCAGAUGAAGCUCCUGGCUUCAGCCUGGCCCAGCCCUGGCCGUCGCAGCCAUUUGGGGAAUGAACCAGUAGAUGGAAGAUCAACCUCUCUCUCUCUGCCUCCCUCCAUCCCUCCUUCUCUCUGCCUUUCAAAUAAAUGAAUCUUUAAAUAAAAGAUAGUGGGAGAUGGAAUUAUGAGGUAAGCUUAUUUUGGUAUAAAAAAUCUGCAAUCCAUGCAUAUGUGGGCUAUUAACAAGUUCAUGGAAAUAUGUAUUAUGCACAAACUUGGCAUGGAUCUUGAAAUUUUUUACACCAAAAUUGACUUUUUUUUCUUAAAAUUGAGAGGUGGAGAGAGAGUGAGUAAGCUGUCAUCCAGUGGCCCACUCCUCAAAUGUCCACAAGGGCCGAGGCUGGGCCACAUCUCCCAUGUGGGUGACAGGGACCGAACAUUUCAGCCAUCCACCUGCUGCCUCUCAGGGUGUGUGUGAGCAAGAAGCUGAGGUUGGGAGCGGAGCCAGGUGCUCUGAUAGGAGACACGGUUGCCUUAGCUGCUGGGGCAAUUAAAAGUAUCCUCCUCUAUGAGGAGGUUGGGGGAAUGAUGAAAAUCAAGGCACUGCACAGAAAGCUAACCCGAGACUUCUCUUCAAAGCAGUUGCUGUUGGAAGCUAUGUAUUAGCUCCUUAAUAUUCUUAGACUAUUUUGGGGAUAUCUCUUUUUGUAAUCGCUAAAUUUUGGAUUGUAUGGUGACAGCUUUGAAUGUUAAAAAUAUCCGAGGAUUCAGGAUGUGCUAAGUGCUGGGGAAGUAGAGAAGUGGAUAACCGAUGUGGAGGACUGUUCUGAUGUCAGGGGAGUGGUAAAUAAAGCAGAUUUCCUACUUCUGCAGCGGACAAAGAAAUAGCAAAUGCAGUCGGGACCGCCGGCACGUUAUUUAGCAGAGAGCGGCUGGAGGAAAGCACCGAAUACAGGUGAUACCAGUGUAAGGUCUAAGGAGAGUCUAAGAGGCCGUGACGCUAAGGCUUUGUACCUCUCAUUUUUUAAAGAAAUAUUUUUUUUUUUUUUGACAGAGUGGACAGUGAGAGAGAGAGACAGAGAGAAAGGUCUUCCUUUGCCAUUGGUUCACCCUCCAAUGGCCGCCGCAGCCAGCACGCUGCGGCUCGCGCACCAUGCUGAUCCGAAGGCAGGAGCCAGGUGCUUCUCCUGGUCUCCCAUGGGGUGCAGGGCCCAAGCACUUGGGCCAUCCUCCACUGCACUCCCUGGCCACAGCAGAGAGCUGGCCUGGAAGGGGGGCAACCAGAAGAAAUAAUAUUUUUAUCAAAAAGUAAAAACCCUCUAGAACCUAAUCUGAAACAACAAAAGUCAAACAAAAUUUCCUUUUGUACUCCCCCAUCCCAAAGCCUCUAAUGUGAUUUUAUAUUCUUGAAGAAAUAAUUAUAUAAUCCCAUCAGCGUAUUUAGAUGUCUUUUAUUAUCUCAAGCCAAUGCAAACAUUCUGUACACUAGUUCUUGCCUCUAAAUAUUUCAGUGGGAGGAUUCAGGCAGAGGCCAGCGUGGUUCUGCCCAGCAGAUGCACAGUGUCUUCCCGGGUACAUGUCCUUUAUCUUAGCGUCCUCUAGGGGCGGCCAUCCGGGUGUGUACAGAUUCCACAUCCCCUUACAGGUACAUAGUUCUGGGGUCCAUGUUGUGGCACAGUGGGUUAAAGCCUCACUCUGCAGUGCCGGCUUCCCAUGGGGCUGCCGGUUUGGUCCUGGAUGCUCUACUUCCAAUCCAGCUCUCAGCUGUGGCCUAGGAAAGUGGUAGAAGAUGCCCAAGUUCUUGGGCUCCUGCACCCACAAGGGAGACCCAGAAGAAGCUCCUGGCUCCUGGGUUUGGAUCAGCACAGCUCCGGCUGUUGCAGCCAUUUGGGAAGUGAACCAGCAGAUGAACUACCUCUCACUCUCUCUCUGUGUCUCUCUCUCUGUCUCUACCUCUUUCAAAUAAAUAAAGUAGAUCUUUAUAAAAAAAAAAAAAAGUAAAUAGUUCUGUGUCACCACACAGCAUUUCAUUUCAUGGAAAUUGCAUAUUAUGAAAAAACUGCAUGGGUUUCAAAAAUAUUUGCACCACAGCAAAAUUAUUUUUAAUUCCAUUUUCCACAAACUUUUUGAAAUACCCUCACGUGUGUGUUGAUAUGUUUGUGGAUGCUUUAUAAAAUUGAAAAAAACAAUUUUAAAAUUUUGUUUGACAGAGUAUGUAUGCAUGUGGUAGGGGUGAGAGAAAGAGAGGGAAAGAAAGAGAAAAAGAUCUCUCCAUUGGUUCACUCCGUAGAUGUCUGUAAUAGCGAAGGUUGGGCCAUGCUGGAGCCAGGAGGGAAUUCCGUCCAGAUCUGCCACGUGGGUGGCAGGGACCCAAGUACUUGAGCCAUCACCUAUGUUUCCCGGGUGUGCAUUAGCAGAAAGCUUUUCAUGAGUAGAUGUUAUCAGUCAGAUUCCUGGUAGUGGAAUUACUGAGUCUACAUGAAUGUCUAGUUAACAUUUGGAUACAUACUGCCAACUGGGUUGUUGAAAAGGAUGUCCCAAUUUAUAGUUCCACCAACAGUGAGUUAUGUUGCGUGCCGGAAAAGGCUUUUCAUUGCAUUUUUUAGAUUUUGCCACUCUGGAGUGGCGGAAAUAUAUAUUGCACUGUUCAAAUAGCAUUUCUUUGAUUCUGAAUGACUUUGAACAUAUUGUCAUAUGUUUACUGACCAUUCUGAAAGGUAGCCUCAGCCAGUUUUACGUCUGUUUUGGUUGGAGGGUCAUAUGUUACGUGGAGAGAUAGGCUCAGCACAGAGCGGUGUUCUGAAAGCCACGCUCAUGUAUCUGUGAGGGAGGUGCAUGUAUACUGAACUGAAGACAGAAUUUCACAUACCUCCCCAACACAUGUGGCCAAAUGUGUCCGCCACAUUGAGGACAUCUAAGAUAGGAGUAGCAGCUUCGUUCUCCCUUUAUGAAACUGGACAUUUAGUUUUCCUUUUCGACUUUGGAAGUAACAAGAGGUGCCCCAGUGCCCCUCAGAAAAUGAAAAGUCCUGGUUCUGUCUUGUUUUACUUCCCUUUUAUUUCUUCCCUAUUUGUUAGAGGUGGAAGUUAAUGGAUUUAUAGCUCUUGACAAAUGAGGAACAUUUUUUUCUCUUAUAUAACAAGUCUCGAUUGAUAUCUGACAAAACCAGUUAGCAAUUUAUUUGGAGUAUUUGGAAAUGAAUUAUAACAUGGAAAAAUCCUACUGGUACAUUGGCAAGUGGAUGGGACCAGAUGAUCAAAUAUUUCAUUUCUAUAUCUACAUUUCAUGAGUCAGUUUCACACAACAGCUGUUGUGGGGGAAGGGUUGACGUACCAGGAUACUUCAUGAUUUAUGAAAAAGAAAAAAGGGAAAAAAUGCAUUUGGUCAUGAAAUGGUGAACCAAGGACAUUUAUUGCUAAAAGGUUGCUUGAAACAUAAAAUAGUCAUUUGUUUUUGUUUCAGUGUUUUAAAUUAUAGAAAGCAAUGGUUAAUUUAAAAACUCCUCUAGCUUGUAAAUAAUGGUAACUGGUAGCAGAUAGUUGGUGGCUGUUGCCUGGGUGUUAAGCAUUUCACCCACAGUCAUCUUAUGUGAUGGACGUAUGGGGAUUAUCCCCGCAGCAGAGGCCUUGGAAGUGAGAGACUUCUAGGGCUGAUGCAGGUGGGAGUGGUGGAACUGGGGUUGCUGGCAGGGCUCUUCUGGAACUGGUGCCCUCACGCACUCUGAGAAUUGGCUGCAGGUAAUCAAGAGAAAACAUGACUUGUGAAUUGAGCCUGUCUCCUUAAAACAAAUGCCUGUUUAUUUUCGUGUAUUAAAUUUUUUUCCUUGAGUACCUUCCGGGAUUAAGAAGUGAUUGGUUCCUGCUAUAAUAAAUCCCGUUUUUCUCGUUUUCUUGAUGGAGACAUGUUGCUAUUUGGGUCUGAGGCUUCCCACGUUUAGGUCCCACACACUCAACAGAAGCCCGUAAAAAUGAGGAGCACGCAAGGCAAGGCUACGUUUGGAGCGCCUGUUUUCUCAGUUUUAUGGUGUGCUCAUGAAGAGUCCGUCUGGCAGAGACUAUUCCACCGGGCCCAGAACUAGUUAGUUAAUAAAAGCAGGAUUGUUGAAACUUAGGAGGUAAGUGAGUUCAUUUGGACUGAGCUGGGAGGCCACAGACAAGCCUGGGUAAGAGCUGGGUCACACGUGGUGCUGCGGCUGCCCUCAGGCUGGUAUGUGAUGCGGAGUGAGUUGGACGGAGUAGGUGUUUCUGGUCUUAUUUUGAAUGGGCAGGGUGCUUUUGGAGGAAGGCGUUGUCUCUGAAAGAUGGCCUCACUUUUUGAUAGACACUGUUGCCAUGGAGAUCUGUAUAUUCUGCAAACUAACUUCUGGUAAUAGGAAGUGUGGCUCUGGGCUGUGUGUGGGGGGCUGUGAGAGCAGAGUGCAUUGCAGAGGUGCAGCCAGUUUUCAGGAGCUUAUCUUCCAGUAGCCAGAUACCCAUGAGUCAGUCCUUGACAGCCUGCCUUCCUCAUUGUCUUUGUUCCUCUGUGUGUGUGUGAGGCAGUUGUCCCUUCACGAGUCUCAGGGUGCCCCUUCUCACCCAGAGCCGGAGUUCGCUGGACGCCCUUCCAAUCUGUUUUUAAUUCUUCUGCUCCAUCUGUAUGUCCAUAAACUGCAUUCUUAAAGUUCAUCUAAAUACCAUCAUGCUUCAUAUGUCAUUUUACAACUUGCCUUUUCAUUACUGGAUUUUUUUUAAGUUUUAUGUAUAUAUUUGAGAGAGUGAGGGCUCCCAUGCUUGGAUUCACUCUCCAAAUACUUGCAAUAGCCAGGGAGGUUGAAACCAGGGAGCCAGGAACUCAAUCCAGGUCUCUCCCAUGGGUGGCAGGAACCUAUCCACUUGAGGCAUCCUGCUGCCUCCCAGGGUCUGUAUUAGCAGUAACCUGUGAUCAGGAACUGGAGCAGGGAAUUAAGUCCAGGGACUCUGAUAUGGGAUGUGUGGUCCCAGCUGGCAUGUUACUCGGCAGGCCAAAUGCCUGCCCUUUAGCUAACAUUGACAUCUCUCUCAUUCAGUCGUUGAAAAACUUUUUGAAGAUUUAUUUAGUUUAUUUGAAAGGCAGAGUUAGAGAGAGAGAGAGAGAGAAUGAAUAUAUCUGCUAUUUUACUUUCCAAAUGGCUAUAACGCAAAUGGUCUGAACUCCAUCCUCAUCUCACUGUGGGUGGCAAUAGCUUAAGCACUUAGGCCGUCUUCCGCUCCUUUCCUAGGUGCAUUAGCAGGGAGCUGGAUUGAAAGUGGAGCAGCCGGGACUCAAACUAGUGCUCAAAUCGGAUGCCAGCAUCCUAGGCGGUAGCUUAACCCACUGUACCACAACAUCAGCCCCUACAUUUUUUUUUAAAUUUUAAUUUUUUGUAGGUUACAGAACGAUAUGCUACAUGUAUACAAUAUAUAAUAACUAAACAGGGUAGUUGGCUUUUCCAUUUCCUUAAACUUAAAAAACAUUAAAGAAAUAUUUAAUAAUAGUGACAUGUGUCAGCGGUACAGUGUGACACUCCAGUACACAUGCAAGUUCACAGCGCAUACUGAUUAAGUCAGGGAAAUCGACAACUCCAUGUCGCCAUCGACAUCUCAUGUUUGAAGCCUUCCAGCAGCUCCUUUCCAGCCAUUCAUGAAACCUUGGAGCUUACUGUGCCCACAGUGUGCUGUACAGCACCAGCAUGCUUCAUUUAUUUUACUUUAUUAUUUUAAAGAGGAUGCAAACUUUGAAAAAAUUUUUAUUUUUUGUUUUCUUUUAUUCAAAAGGCACACGUGCGUGCACACACACAGAUACACACACACACAGAUACACACACCUACAGAGCAAGUGAGCAGGAGGGAGAGAGAUUGCCCAUCUGCUGGUUCACUCCCCAAAUGCCCAUAACAGCUAUGACUGGGCCAAGCCAUAGUCAGGAGCCAGAAACUCAGUCCAGAUCUCCCACAUGGGUGGCAGCAACCCAAGUACUUGACUUGACCCCUGCUGUAUCCCGGGGUUUACAGGAAUUUGGAAUUGGCUGUGAAGUCUGGACUCGAACUCAGGCGCUCUGUGGAUGCUGGCAUCACAAGCUGGGUUUUAGCUGCUGUUCAGACACCAACUCCAAGUUCAUUUAUUUCGUUGGUGGAUAGUAUACCAUUGCACCACAGUUGAUCUAGUGCUUUGGCGAUGGACAUUUAGACAUUCUUCUGUAACUCCAAAGUUCCAUUUGUUUCUGUCCAUUCCACGUUGUUGAGUUUAGGAACUCAAUAUCUGCUUGAUUUCAUUUUUAUUUGGCUAAAGCUAUUUUGUUAAUUAUUAAGUUGUCUUUAAUCUGUUCUCUCAAGUCUUUGAAAUGAUCUCUCUUCAGUUUAUUACUUUUAAAAAAUUGUCAGGACCGGUGCUGUGGCAUGGCGGGUAAAGCCACCACCUGAAGUGCUGGCAUCCCAUCUGGGCACCGGUUUGAGUCCUGGCUGCUCCACCUCUGAUCCAGCUCUCUGCUAUGACUUGGGAAAAUAGUAGAAGAUUGUCUGAGUCCUUGGGCCCCUGUACCUACAUGGGAGACCCAGAAGAAUCUCCUGGCUCCUGCCUUUGGAUUGCUGCAGCUCUGGCAUUUGCGGCAUCCUGGGGGGAGUGAACCAGCAGAUGGGAGACCUCUCUCUCUCUCUCUCUGCCUCUCUGUAACUCUGCCUUUCAAGUAAAAUAAGUAAAUCUUUAAAAAAGAAAAAAAUUGGCCGGCGCCGCGGCUCACUAGGCUAAUCCUCUGUCUUGCGGUGCCGGCAUACCGGGUUCUAGUCCCGGUCGGGCCGCCGGAUUCUGUCCCAGUUGCCCCUCUUCCAGGCCAGCUCUCUGCUGUGGCCCGGGAGUGCAGUGGAGGAUGGCCCAAGUGCUUGGGCCCUGCACCCCAUGGGAGACCAGGAGAAGCACCUGGAUCCUGGCUUUGGAUCAGCGCUGUGCGCCGGCCGCAGCGCGUCAGCCGUGGCGGCCAUUGGAGGGUGAACCAAUGGCAAAAGGAAGACCUUUCUCUCUGUCUCUCUCACUGUCCACUCUGCCUGUUAAAAAAAAAAAAAUUGUCUUCAGGUGCCGGUGCCGUGGUGUAGUAGGCUAAGACUCCGUCGAUAGUUCUGGCAUCCCAUUUGGACCCCAGCUUGUGUCUUGCUGCUCUUCUUCUGACCUAGCUCUCUGCUGUGGCCUGGGAAAGCAUUGGAAGACUGCCCAAGUGCUUGUGCCCUUGCAGCCACGUUGGGUGACCCAGAAGAAUCUCCUGGUGUCUGAGCAGCCCAGCUCCAGCCAUUGUGGCCAUUUGGGGGCAUGGAUGGAAGACCCUUCUCUCCGUCUCUCCCUCUCUCUCUCUGUAACUCUACCUCUCAAAUAAAUAAAUAAAGUUAUCUUUGAUGGGGGCUCCCGUGGUGUUGCAGUGGAGUAGCCAUGACUUGCAGUGUCAGAUCCCAUAUUGGAACACCGAUUCAACUUCUGCUGAUCUGCUUCGACCCAGCUUCCUGCUCACACAACAGGGAAGGCAGAGGAAGAGGGCCCACGUGCGUGGGACCCUGCCGCUCACACGGGAGGCCAGAACAUGCUUCCUGGCUCCUGACUUCAGUCUGGCCCAACUGGCGGCUGUUGCAGACAGCUGGGGAGUGAGCCAGUGGAUGGAAGAUUUCUCCCUUUCUUCCUCCCUCUGUUGUUCUGCCUUUCGAAUAAAGAAAUCUUUAAAACAAAUUAUCUUGGGUAUCCUUCAGGCGUUUCUUUUCUUUGGAUAUUCAACCUAGCAAAAGUGUGGUACCCACACCCAGGAACGUGCAGCGUGGCUGGGCGCCGGGAUGGUCUCGAUUCAUCUUUGCAAGAUGCAUUGUUUUUAGAAGGUCCUAAUUAACAGCACUGCUGUUGACUGCAAGGAGCUGCUUGUAACACCCUUGGUGGGUCAGUGAGUUGUAGAGAAAGCACAGAUAAAACAUUCUGGAUACUUCGGAUCAAGCUGCGUUGAUGAUUGCACUUAUUAAAUAACUUUCUUAUUAAAAGCAUUUUUAUAUUAUCGUAGUGCUGUUCAGAAAGUGACACUGAAAGUAACACGGAAUUGUGUUUGCUCAACACAGCUGUGAAAAAUACAGGUUAUGUCAGUGCUGUCAUUGAAAUAUCAUGUAAGCCACACAUGUAAAUUUAAAAUUUUCUAGGAGCCAAACUAAAAAAGUAAACUGAACACAGGUAAAAUAAAUGUUAUUUAAUCAACAUGCCCCCAAAACAUUGUUACUUUCCACGUGUUAUAUAUUUAGAAGCCUGUGGAGAUAUUUUGUUUCUUUUCAUACCAAGUGAUUGAAAUCCAAGUGAUUGAAAUUCCUUUUUACAAUUUUUAUUGAUUUGAAAGGCAGGUAGGGAGAGAGAGAGGUAGAGAGGGAGAGGGAGAGAGAGAGAGAGAGAGAGAGAGAGAGAGAGAGAGAGAGAGAGAUUUCUCAUGUGCUGUUUCACUUCCUCACUGCUCACAAUAGCCAAGCUGCGGCCAGGAGCCUAGAAAGCAGUUCAGGUUUCCCAUGUGGGUUGCAGUGACCCAAGUACUUGAGCCAUCACCUGCUGCCUCCGGGGUAUGCAUGAGCUGGAAGCUGGAUUUGAUCCCAGGCCCUCUAGAAAUGGGAUACAGUGUCCCAGGUGCCAUCUGAACUGCGGUGCUGGAAGUCCUGCUCCACAGUUGUGUGUUUCAUACUUAACAGUGUACCCCAGUUGGGGCUAGAGUGCAUCUCACAGCUAAAUGUCACCAGUGGGUAGUCAGGUAUAGAAAAUCCAGGUUUAAGGAUCAGCAUGGGUGCAGGUUGGAGGGAGUGUUCUGGGAGGAGCUGGGAGGCUCCCCCCCGGCUCAGUAAAACCUAAGACACUAGAUGCUGCGUGGGAUGUCAGGAAGGACCUUAGGUGCAUGGCCUGAGCAGUAGGAGUGACUGUCUCAUGCCAGAGUAAGCAGCUGGCCUGUCCCAGAGGGCUGACCUUCAGAGAAGUGGGGAGGGAGGGUUCUGGGGGUUAGCUUCAGCACCUGAUCAAGGGUUGUGGGCAGAGCCACGUGCCAUCUGUUCGUAAGGACAGAUUCCUUAUCUGGUUAUCUGGUAGGAGAAGAUCAUGCAGACAGGUUACUUUUUUUUUUUUUAAUAUUUAUUUAUUUAUUUGAAAGAGUUACACACAGAGAGGAGAGGCAGAGAGAGAGAGAGAGAGGUCUUCCACCCACUGGUUCACUCCCCAAUUGGCCUCAACAGCUGGAGCUGCGCCAAUCCGAAGCCAGGAGCCAGGAGCCAGGAGCUUCCUCCGGGUCUCCCACAUGGGUGCAGGGGCCCAAGGACUUGGGCCAUCUUCUGCUUUCCCAGGCCACAGCAGAGAGCUGGGUUGGAAGUGGAGCAGCUGGGUCUCAAACCAUCAUCCAUAUGGGCUGCUAGCGCUUCAGGCCAGGGCGUUAACCCACAGCGCCACAACAAGGGCCCUGACUGGCAGGUUAAUGAAAGUGUUAUGUGUCCCUUCCCCAGAUAACUCCCCUCCUCCCAUAUUUCAUGGUCAUCCUUGCAGAGAACUAAUUUGGAUAAGCUCUGAGGUGGUUGUUAUAUCAUUCUAAGUGAUUACUGUAAAGAGCAUGAUUAGGGAUGGGAAUGAGUUUAUAAAAGCAACAAAAAGUGGGAUGUUGGCCUGUAUGCGUAUGCUUAAUGCUUUGGGUAUGAUCAGUUGUACAAUCAAAAAUUAAGAGUUUUAAACUUUAGUGCAUUUUGGACUUUCUUCACAUUUUUACCAUCAUAUUAAAGGGAAGGAAACUGUGGCAUCAUUAAUCUAAAAUUAUUUUUUAUUUUCUACAUUACUUUUCUAUUAACUGGCUUUUUCUUUAAAACUGAUUUUUGCUAAACAUUAUUAGGGAAAGUUACUUGCAAUGUAAGGGGUAUCAUACUUACAGAACACAAGGUACUUUUAUGUUUCAGUAAUAGAAACAGCAGUAAUAAACAAGGGAAAGGAAAAAUACAAAAGGAACUACAAGUGGUCUAAAAUACACGAAAAGCGAUUUCCACUAGAAACUAUGCAAUUUGCACAAAACACCAUUUUUUGGUUUUUGAAAUUGAAAAAAUAUUGGAGAAAGAUAAUAGCCAGUUUUCCUAGGGGUUUGAAGAGACAGGUUAGGUGCUUAGCUAGAGUCACACAAUUUGGGUGGCAGAUAAGUAUUACAGUAUUGUUUACACUUCUAUGGCUUGAUGGUGUGAAUACAGAAUUGGGACUACAAGGCUGUUGUGUCUUGUUGAUCCUGAAGAUACUUUUGGUAGAGAUCAGGGAUGAAAGCUGGUUGAAGCAUGCCCAGGUAGGUGUUAGAUGAGAUAUAUUGUUCCAUGUUUACUUCCUUUUUCCACUAAACAUGGAAUUUAUUGUUCAUUCCAUAGUUUUCUGUAAAGCACUCCUGAAGUUUAGUGAGCCCACAUUUUACUGUUGUUUGUUUCAGCAGUAGAACAUUGUCUUUCUGUUUAUUGUAUUCUGGUGUGACUGUCUAAAAGAAGCAAAAGUAAAUUGAAUUCUUAUUAGACACAUUAUUUCCUUUUGUGCAAUCUCUCUCCAUAGCCUGGUUUCUCAGGUUUCAUAUUUCAUUAGCGUUUUGUUACUGUGUUUCUUAAAGAGAGAAGGUUGUGGAUAAAUUAUUUUUGGAUCCAAAUUAAGCUUCUAUUAGUUUAUUUACUACAGCAGUUUCUAGCUAUGGAUUUUCUAAGCUCCAUGGUGCCUUGAAUUUCUGGUAUAACCCCUAAGCAAGAGAGGGUAGAAUAUAUGUUCUCAAGCUUCAUUGACUGAGAAUCCUUCUGCAGAGUCAUCGUGAAAGUUAAUUAGAGCCGGUGCCGGCACACCGGGUUCUAGUCCCGGUCGGGGCGCCGGAUUCUGUCCCGGUUGCCCCUCUUCCAGGCCAGCUCUCUGCUGUGGUCAGGGAGUGCAGUGGAGGAUGGCCCAAGUGCUUGGGCCCUGCACCCCAUGGGAGAUCAGGAUAAGCACCUGGCUCCUGCCAUCGGAUCAGCGCGGUGCGGCCAUUGGAGGGUGAACCAACGGCAAAGGAAGACCUUUCUCUCUGUCUCUCUCUCACUGUCCACUCUGCCUGUCAAAAAAUAAAAAAGUUAAUUAAAGUUUCAGUUUUUUUCUUUCUUCCUACUCCCUGCCCCCCCCCCCUUUUUUUUUUUAAAGAUUUACUUAUUUAUUUGAAAGGCAGAGUUACAGAGAGGGAGAGGCAGAGGCAGAGAGAGAGAGAAAUCUUCCAUCCAGUGGUUCACUCCCCAAAUGGGCACAACAGCUGGAGCUGGGCCUAUCCAGAGCCAGGAGCUUCUUCCGGGUCUUCCACAUGAGUGCCAGGGUCAAAGCACUCAGACCAUUUUCCGCUGCUUUCCCAGAUGCAUUAGCAGGGCGCUGGAUGGGAAGUGGAGCAAUCGGGACUCGAACCAGUGCCCAUAUGGGAUGCCAGCACUCCAGGUGGCGGCUUUAUUUGCUGUUCUACAGCACUGGCCCCGUCCCCCUCCUUUAAUAAGAGGCUGUUUUAUAUCAGUAAUGGAAAAGAACAAAAGAAUGGUUCCCUGUGUUUAAUCCCUAAAUAGAUUGUUUCUAUGUAUAUUAUUGUAUGAGCUCUCAAAUUGUUUUACCUGUUAAGCCCCCAGAGUUCUUGAUGGAAUUGCUCAGCAGGGGUAAGUGUGCCCCAUCUGUUAUCAGAAGUUCUUAGGAGACAAAGCUGCUGUUACGAACAGAUAUGCCUUAGUAAAAACAUAAUUUUAAGACUUCAUAGAUAAAAUUUCCUGGCACCAAAAUUGUUGUAAAGAUGAUUUGGCACAGGUGGAAAUUGGAUCUAGAAAGACUAUUUUAAUUAAUUAAAACAAAAUUUUUUUAAUUAAAGACUUUAUUUGAGAGGCAGUGUUACAGAGAGAGGGAGAGACAGAAAGUGAGUCUUCCACCCACUGGUUCACUCCCCAAAUGGCUGCGGCAGCCCGAGCUGGGCCGAUCCAGAGCCAGAAGCCAGGAGCCUCUUCUAGGUCUCCCACAUGGAUGCUGGGGCCUAGGUGCUUGGGCCAUCUUCUACAGCUUCCCCAGGCCAUGGCAGAGAGCUGGACCACAAGAGGAGCAGCCGGGACACGAACUGGCGCUCAUCUGAGAUGCCUGCACUGCAGGUGGCGGCUUUACCCGCUAUGUCACAGCUCCGAUCCAUCUUAAUUCUUUUAGUGAGAAGGUUUUGACUUGCAUUUUCCAAAUCCUAGUAGGCUCACCAAAUUGUAUUCAUAUAUAUAUUGUUAUUAGUUAUAUUGUAUUACUAGCAGUAUUAUUCUAUUUGCAGUAAUUCUAUAGAGUCAUUCGUAGCCACUGAAUUAGCUCCAUCAGGAAACACAUGAGGUUCCUGCGGCUCUCUGAUGACGUAUUUCUUUUAUGUGUGCGUCUGCUUACAAACACCUUACUUAAUAUUCACAGUAUGUUUGAUUCGUUGACAGGGGAUUCAUAGCCAGGAGCAAGAUUGCCCACACCUGAAGGCAGCUUGUCUCAGGGACGUGACAGCCUUCUUGCACUGUGCCUGUAGUCCGCUUCAUUCUUUUUAAGUUUGAGAGGCAGAGAAAGAGAGAGAUGGAGAGGUGGAGGUAGGGGAGAGAGCCUAGCUGUGGCUUGGCCUGGACCAAAGCUGGAGCUGGGAGCCGGAAUGCAUUCCAGGUCGCUUGCUUGGAUAUCAGGAACCCAACUACUUGAACGGUUUCAUUGCCUCACAGGGUCUGCGCUGGAAGGAAGCUGGAGUUAGGAGAUGAAGCUGGGUACCGAAUGCAGGCGGCCCUUACAUGGGACACAGGCGUCUGAACUGCCAGGUUAAAUGCCUGCCUUAAAUAGCUAAAUCACCAAAGAAGCACACAAAAUUGGGAAAAAUGUGAAAUCGAAUUGCCAUGAGAAAGAUACUUCCUAACAGUAUGAGAACCAAAGCAAGAAGGCAGAGGAUUCGCUUGUCCACCUCACCUGGGAGUGUUGCUCCACGUGUGCCUGGAACAACUGUGGAAGUGCCACGAGCAUCGUGUGUGGUAGUUGCAAAUAUAUUUUUGCAAAUAGAUUCACAAAUAGGAGUUUGUGGAACCCGUGAUGAAUGGGCCGUGUUUGGGUGGUUCUGUUAUCAAACGUUGACCCAGCAGCUCAGGUGGCAGGCCCCUGAGGAGUUGACCCUGCUUGCCUGCCUCUUUUAGGCCUGGUGCUGGUGUUCUAGGUCCAGCUGGAGCAUGAAGACGGUGUAGUGACCAGAACGAGGGCUCAGCUGGACACUUUGUGCUCACAGUUGUUGGCUAUAUCAGAGAUGUAUAUUGUGCUUCCUGUUCCUUGUGCUUUGCAUACUAGUGUAAGUUAUGAUGAAGAGCAUAAGUAGCAUAAAUACUGGCUUCGAAAACAGACUGCAUCAUUUGCAACCGAGUUCUGCCGUCCAUCGUUUGGCGGCUUGUUCUUGUGGACUCAGCUGCAGUGAUGCGGGCCCCUCUGUGGAGGGUGGUUCAGUCUGGUGCUGACUGAGCGGGACGGGACUGAAGAGAUAAUUGAGUCCAGUGGAAUGACCAGACUUAAGCAGAGCUUGUUAACUAAUUAUUAAGGAUUUUUCUUUUUCAUUUCAGAUGGUCAAAUGGAUUUUAUGUGGUGACUUAGUUUUUCAUAAGAUUAAAGACAUAUUAAGCACCUGUUAGGCUUAAAGCUCCGUGGUAGACUGUGGAGAGUGAAUCUAAAUAAGUAAAACAUGUUGUUCCUCUUAGGCGCUCACAGUCUGUCUUUUAGAAUGCAAAAUAUUAAAAAACAAAAGAAGUGUGGGCUUCUGGAGAGAAGUUGGUUCGUCAGUGCUUGGAGUGGAAGGUAGCUGGCAGCAUCACGUUGCUUUGUGACGUUGUAGUCAUUCGUGUGUGUUUGUGUUGCAGAGCGAGUGUCUGUGUAUAAAAGUAGGGCAUCACCCAAAAUAAUCCAGUGUUGCAUUUCAGGAGAGUAGUUACUUGUGUGGCACUUGUGUGGCAGUAACAGCAUUGGACAGGAGUGUUGGAACGAGACAAGCCAUUGCUUGUAAGGAUAAGGCCCCUUGGUGGAUCCUGGGCAUGGCCGUGGGAAGGAGGGGUAGAGGAGCAAGAGUCUGUAGGUCUUGAUCCCUGAGGACGAGUGGAGAGACUGUGGGCAGUGAGCCCCGGGGCCUUUCAGCUGAGGGAUGUGCCUCCUCUGCAGUCUAAAUCAUUCCUUGUCUGGAAUUCAUAUCCGCAGAUCCGCGGGUAUGACACGCGUCAGAAUCCAUGAAAUUCCUUAGCGUUGUUUCGAUUUUUAGCCGCAGCACAAAACUUUUUUUAGGUUCAUCUGUCCACACAUGUAUGGUUGUUUUCAAAAAUAAAUCUUUUAUUCUGGAACAAUUUUAGAUUACAGAAAAGUCACAAAGGUACUGUAGAAAGCUUUUGUUUAUACUUGACUGAAUUUUCCCCCAGUUGUUACUAUCUUAACAUUCAUCUGUGAAAACUAAGAAGCCGUCGUUGGUAUAUUACUGUGAACUGGACUUGCAACUUUACUCAGACCCCUGGUUUUUCCACUAGUGAAUCUUUUUGGCCCAGGAUCCUCUCCAGGACACCUCGUUGUGUCGUUGAGCCUCCCUCUCUGGCCUGUGCCUUUGCCUCGUUUUUUCUUCCUUUGACCGUUUACGGGCUGAUGUUCAGGUGUUUUUAAUAAUGCCCCUCAGCUGGGAUUUGUGUGAUGGGUUUCUGGUAAUCAGAAUGUGGUUAUAGGUUUUUCUGUUUCAGUCAUGUUGUGUCAAGUGUACAUGCUGUCACCAUGGCUCAUCACUGCUGAUGUCCACCUUGAUUACCACCUGAAUUACCUGCGCUAGUGUUGUCAGGGGUCUCCACUAUAGUCCUCCACCCUCCUGUGCACCCACUUCUUCACAAGCAAGCCAUUAAAUCCAGCACACACUCCAGGGGGACGUGUAGUUAAGUUUCCCUCCUGGAGGGAAGUAUCUAAAUUUACAGGGCUGUGUUUGGAAUUCUUCUGUAAGGUGUAUUUACCUCUGUCUGUCUGUCUGUCUAUCUCCUGCAUAUAUUUUUUCAGGAUGGACUCAAGUGUAUUUCUUUCAGCCUGUGGCUUAUGACUUCAUAGUAAGUCAUGUAUUUCAUUGCUCAGACUUUUCAGCUGUUGGCAUUCGAGCUCUUUACUGCUUGCCCCUGUUUCCAUUCAGAGUGUCCUUGUUUGUUUGAGAACUCUCUUACUGCCUGUUACUAGGAAGUACUCCAGGUUCAUCAUGCAUUUUCCUUUUUCCUCGCCGCAGUCCUAGGGUCACCGUUUCUCUAAGGGUCCCUGGAUCCUCUUACUUAUGGAGAGUGAUAGUGGAAACCAAGGUCUGGUGCUGGGCUGCUGCUCGCUCCCUGGGUCUCUCUGGAAGAAGAUAGGACACAAAUGCACGCGUACCACUACACAGAAGUAUAGCUUUGUUGUGUCAAGGCUUUCAGACGCUCUGUGUGUAAAGCUUCAUACUUGGAGGUUAGCAUCGAGCUCUUGGGGCUGGCCUUGUGGCGUGGAAGUUAAGCUACUGCUUGUUGUUGCACCCCUUGUUGGGAGUGUCAGUUCAUGUCCUGGCUGACGUGGCUGGUGGACUGUGGACGAUGGCACAAGCACUUGGGCCCCUGCCUCCUAUAUGGGAGACCUGAAUGGAGUUCCUGGCUCCUGGCUUUGGCUUGACUGAUGUGGCCAUUUUGGGGAGUGAAACAGUGGGUGGAAGGUCUCCCCUGUCCCCUUGCUUCGCCCCUCGCCCUUCCCCCUCUCCCCCAUCACUUUGCCUUCCAAAUAAAUAAAUCUUUUAAAAUUAAACUCUGCAGGCAAUCUGUUAUUUUUUAGGCACGGCCACGAAUGUCUAUAAAUCAAUACCAUUACAUAGACAUCUCCUCCAGAGCCCUCUUCUCUUUUUUGGUUGUAAAGUAUUAUAUUUUUGUUACUGUUGACUCUCCCGGCAUGGAACUUUGUGCAGAACUUUUUGCAGCCUGUGAAGAAUGGUAUAUUUCACAUUUUCCCUAAAAGAAGAGAUAUUUGGAUUUUGUUAUUUUGGGGUUUGAUAGGUUACAAGCUGGGAUAAUUUCCUCAUAGUCAUGAGUUUAUUGUGCAAAGAGAAUUCACAUGUGUGAAUUUCUAUAUUGGUUUUCAAGCAUUUUUUUUUUUUUUUUAAAGCUUACUUGAGAGGCAGAGAGAGCAAGCGAGCCAGCUCCCAUCUGCUGGCUGUUUCUCCAGAUGCCUGCAAUGGCUUGGGCUGGAACAGAACCAAGCCCAGGAGCCCUGAACUCAAUCCUGGUCUCCCUUGUGGGAGGCAGAGACCCAGUGAGCUGAAUCAUCACCAUGUUCUCCCAGGAUCUGCAUCGGCAGGAAGCUGGAGUCAGGGGCCAGGGGUGGGUAUCAAACCCUGACUGAUGUGGGACGACCACUAGGCCAAAUGCCCGCCUCCUUUGUUGGCAUCAAUAUCAGUUGGUGCGGUGGGCAUGCACUUAUUUUGAUGUGGAGUCACGGAACUGAAUUGAGAUUGUCCAGCUCAGCGGUUCCCGUGACUGUACAUUGAAACAUUUGGGGAGCUUUAAAAAACACUCAUGCUGGGCUCUUAUCCCCAGGAAUCAUAAUUUAAUUGAUUUGGAGUGUGGCCUGGGCCCCAGACUUUUACAGGGCUUCCCCAGGUGAUUGUAAUGUGCAGUCAGGUUUGAGAAACUCUGUUAUCAUCCCUUACUCAGGACGAGAAAAGUGAGACCUGGACGUAUUAAUCAAGUAAUUGCUACUCUGAGGAUCCAAAACCAUGAUGAAAUUUAGCAUGACUCUUAACCUAACGUGCAUACUGAUGCUUUUAAUCAUUUAGACGUGCAACUAGAAAGGCUGGAGAAGUCUCUCUUCUCCUAGUCUCUUCUUUCAGCUGGGCUACCGGUGACUCGCCAAGGUGAGAAGUUUGGAUUCAGCGCAGGAGUGGCUGGAUUGUGUCUGACAGCUGUAGCCUUUCUGACUCGACCCCCCUGCCCUCCCCCCCCAGCAAUUUCCUGAAAUUGGAUGUUUGCAGUUUCUUUGAGAGAAUAUCCCCACCGUGGAUGUUCUUUAUAGAAAACUGUAGGCUGUUCAAGGAAGAAUACUUUGCAAAAUUUCAAGUAAAGAGUGUUUUGGAUGAAACCGAGGUUUAGCUGCCCUUACGUUAGGAGGACGUACACACACCGCACUGCCUGGCAUGGUCUACGGUAGUCACUCAGUUGGUUUGUGAGUGAACAAAUGAAAGGUCUGUGUUUUAGUUGUUAAGCAUGUGGCUAUCUCUCAGCUGAUAAGUGCGGAUACUGUAGCCUCAAGGAUCUCUGCUUUGACUGGUUAGAUAAGGACUCUGACCUUCUGCAAGUUGCUUAACUUCUUUAGGCUCCAGUUUUCUUGUAAAGUUAGGGUUGGAUAGAUGCUUUUUCAGGACUUUUCCAGCUCUUAGCAUUUUAUGAUUCUAUGACCAUUAACGCUUGCCAAUAUAAUAUUAAGUAAGAAUGCUAUCUCCUAGCCGUCUGGAGGAGGUAGUGCUGUCACUGGGCUCCUCAGGAGGUUGUCCAUCUGGUUAGAACUAGAGAAGCAAAUAAAAUAUAUUUAAAAAUAAAAAAAAAAAAAACGAGAGAAGCAAGUAGGACUCAGGACAUUGAUGAAAUGACAAGGAAAAAAACUUAUUAGGUCUGUAGAAUUUGGCUUUGAAGGACAGUAUUUGGUCCAUUCUCUCCUGGCACAACUCUUGAUUUCUCCUAAGAAGUGAAGAAGAUGUUGGGCUAGGCUGAGCCUAAAUUUCUACCCCAGACUCGUGCCUUUUACUUAGAGAGGAAUUCUAAGUACAGGCACAAACAUGAUGUGCAGUGUGACACUGUUUAUUUGCAAAGUGAGGAAAAUACACAGACACUUGUGGGCUUUAUUUAGGGAGAGUGGACUGAGAAAGGUAAAGGGGAUUUUCAUAUCCUGCUCACUCUGGGUCCAUGAGGAGAGGAGAGAGAGCACGUCUGCUUUAUCCAGUGUCUUAUGAGCUUAGAAAAAUGGAAGUGUUCACAUGACACCACCCCGGGUCCUGGGUAAGGCGAAGUACUUCCUGGGAAAGGAGACAUCUGAUUGACAGAUAGGUGGAUAUGGUAACAUGGAGCGGGGGAGGUGUGGCUUCCAGCUUCUGAGCUUUAUCUGUCCGACUUAUCCAUUAUCGAGGGCACAUUGUAGUGUUGCCCAACUCAUUGUCAUGUGUGUCUGUCUUUUGAAAUCCUUUCGCUCACAAGGUUGUCUUUGGUUUUUAGAAAAUGCAUCCUUCUAGUAUCCUUACACUCCGGUCACAAUCCCUUAGCUAACCACCUUGCUUGUGUUUUUUCUUUGUUUUUCAUUUGGAUUGCCUCAGAAACCAGGCGUUGCACUUAGCACUGAAGAAAGAGCUAGUGAUGAGUGAUCGAUGUCUGGCUGUGUGAACGUCCUGGGUGAUUUGUACCAUACACUUCUGAGUUAGUGAUUGACUAAGGAGGAUUUGGAAUUUAGACCUGUCUUGUUUAACCGGUCUUAAACACUUUUGGAAUCAGAGAUGCAGAGCGAAUCAGUAACUUGCCCAGGUUUUCGGAUAGAAUCUGUUUUCAGAAGUCCAUCAGAUUUCCUUCCAUGCAUCUUGAGAAUUCUACAUUUAACUGGACGGAGACACUUGUUCUGUUUUGGUAGCAAUUGCUGUGAGAAUCAUCCAUGUACCACAGGAACGAUUCUGACUGCCUAGAAAGCUGGCCAGGUGUAUAACCUAUUAUCAGUGUGUAGUAUGAACUGUGUCUUAGUAGCUUACAUAGUCACUUAAGGCAAUAGGUUUCAGCUGUGAAAAAGCAGCGACGAUUUUGAUAUUUGGCAUUCAGAAUAUCUAUAACUUCUUUAAUAGAAACCACAGAAAUUACCAUGGGGAGACUUGUUGCUGAGAGUGGCUGCUGUCAUUCUCCGCUGGGAAACUGUAGUGUGGAGAAGUGCGAUUUGUCUGUUCCCUAGCGGUGUGUACAGGUGAGGAGAAGGUGAGACACUUAGCACUGAAGGCCAGUCGGGGAUUCCAGCUGAGCAGUUUUACUUUGAUUGGCGGUCAGCCUCUUGCCCGUUUCUUUGUUUCCUCUUCCUUGUUUUGACAAGAUCUAAAAGGAGUAGAAGAUUGAGUGUUGGCAUUUCUUCUUCCCCUUGGCCCUGAACAAAGGUGGGAAUGUUCUUUCUUGAGAAGAAAUUUUUUUUUUUUAAUUGGGACGGAGAUAAUGGGCUUCUUUGUAAAAGACAUUUCCAGGUAGGAGAACAUAAGUGAUGUUAUCUGUUUCUCUGGUAGGACCAUUGCUGGGCUUUUUUUUUUCCCCCACUUGAAUUGACUUAGGACAGGCAAAAUUCCUGGAAUUUGAGCGCCAUUGCAGAAGACUUGAUAGUUCUCAGGUGUGCUUUUUGAUUCUCUCUCAAGGAAUAAAACAGCACUGUCUGGUGUCUUGGCAGGCUUGUGAAUUUAAUUAGUAAAUGCACUCUUACGUCAAACUGUGGAACUCUUUUUUAAAAGUAAGAGCAAUGUGUGAUCUUGAAAAACAACAAAUUGCAUUUGUUAUGUAUAUAUCAUUUCUAAGUGUAGAUGAGCUAGAUAAUUAUUUGAAAUAGCCCAUUUCUAACAUCCUUGCUCUGAAAACCUUUGAGGUGUGCUCUUUAUGUUAUCCAGUUGAAUUAUUUGUUGUUUCUAAUUUCUCCUUGCAAGCUGUAAGCAGCUCUUUCCAAGAUUCUAGACUAAAAUGCAGCUAUCAUCCACAGUCAUAAAAGUCACCUGUUGUGAAUUACUGCCUUAUCAAGCACCGUAAGAAUGCAGAAGCAGGUGGGUGAAUUGUGCUUGCUCUGAUUUUAUCACUGUUGUCUUUGGAUAAAGUUAGUGGACUACUGAGUGUGCCUGAAGUGGUGCUUGCCUUUGCUAUACAUACAAAUUACAAUUAAUAAAAGGUAGGUAACACAGAAAGCAUUCUAAAGUUGAAGAUUGGGCUUAUGGGCUGGCACGGUGGUGUAGUGGUAUAGUGGGUGAAGCCACCACCUGGGGCGCCUGCAUCCUAUAUGUCCCAGCUGCUCCUCUUCCGAUCCAGCUCCCUGCUAAUGCUCCUGGGAAAGCAGUGGAAGAUGACCCAAGUGCUUGGGCCCCUGCACCUGUGUGGGAGACCUGGAAGGAGCUCCUGGCUCCUGGCUCCAGAUCUGCCCAGCUCCAGCCGUUGCCACCAUUUGGAGAGUGAAUCUUGCAUUUCUCUCUCUCUCUCUCCCUCUCUCCUUCUUUCUUUGUAACUCUUUCAAAUAAAUAAAUAUUUUUAAAAAAUUGGGCUUAUAUAGAAUUAAGAAAAUGCUCAUUGGCAAGACAAAUCAGGAUAUUGUUGAAUGACCAGAUCGGGUGGAUGAACAGUUAAAGAGACAGUUCCAUGUAAUGUGCUGGGUAGGAGUGUGUGUAAAACCUUACUACCACCUGGGAUCCUGAGUUCACAGAGUUUGGGAAGAAAGGACUAAAAUGUAUGCUGGUACUUUGUAUUUUAUGCUGAAGAGAUCUUAUUUAUCAUGGUGGUUAAGAAUAUGAGAGAGAAAAUGAGAGAGAGAGAGAGAGAGAAAUGGAUUGCAUCCACUGGCUCCCUUCUGAAACGGCAGUAACAGCUUGAGCUAAGCCAGGCCAGAGCCAGGAGGCUGGCACUCCAUCUAGGUCUCCCUCCUGGGUAGCAGGGCCUCAAGCACUUGAUCCCAGAUGCAUCAGGAGGAGCUGGACCAGAAGUCCGGCAGCCGGGCCUCUAGCAGGCCGCGACUUGGACCUGCUGUGCCACAGUGCCAGCCCCUGGGCAAGAUUCUUACUCUGUCUGAAUUCAUUUCAUCUGUCAGAUGAGAACACUGAGAGGAGCUACCUCGCAGGACUCCUGUGGGCUUGAGGAGGAUUCUUUCCAACAGAUGGCUUCUAGGGUUGGGCACUCUUGGAUCCAUUACUUGAAUAUGCAUAGUUGGCUCCAUUGUGUUAAGGGCUUGAGUAGAGCCGGGAAUGAGAGAUUGUAAACAAAAAAUACAAUUUGUUUAUAUACAUUUUUACUUCAAAACAUUAGGAUAGUAGGGGCCGGCCCUGUGGUGUACUAGGUUAAUCUUCCACCUGCGGUGCCGGCAUCCCAUAUGGGUGCUGGUUCUAGUCCCAGCUGCUCCACUUCCAAUCCAGCUCUCUGCUAUGGCCUGGGAAAGCAGUAGAAGAUGGCCCAAGUCCUUGGGCCCCUGCACCCGCAUGGGAGACCUGGAAGAAGCUCCUGGCUUCGGAUCAGCGCAGCUCUGUCCAUCGCGGCCACUUGGGGAGUGAACCAAUGGAAGGAAGACCUUUCUCUCUGUCUCUCUCUCACUGUCUGUAAUUCUACCUGUCAAAUAAAUAAAUCUUAAAAAAAUUAAAUAUAAAAAAUUUAGGAUAGCUUAGAAUAGUGUCUUACAGAGUAGCUUCAGAUAUGUUACUAUUAUUAAUAAUAUGCACAUUUCUCUUUGAACUGUAAUGGUAAAACCAUAAAAUUGCUAUUGUCCAUUUUUUAAAAAGAUUGAUUUAUUUGAAAUGCAGAAUUACAGAGAGGUAGGGAGGAAGAGAGGGAAGCAGAGAAAGAGAGAGAGAAAGAGAAAGGACACUUGGUCUACUCCCCAAAUGGCUGCAACUGCCAGUGCUGGGCCAGGCCGAAGCCAGGAGCCAGUAGUGUCAUCUCGUCUCCCACGUGGUAUAGGGGCCCAAGCAUUUGGGCCAUCCUCUGUUGCUUUCCCAGGUCAUACUGGUGCCCACGUGGGAUGGCAGCACUGCAGGUGGUGGCUUUACCUGCUAUGCCACAGCGCUGGCCUCCCCUGUUGUACAUUUUUAUAAAUGAAGCUCAGAGACAUUUCUUUUUAGGUAAGCUGAGAUUCAAAUCUAAGCUUCAGAUAACCAAGUCAGGGUAUUCCUGAUAUACUCCCAUACAGCAUUUAUCUGUUUGCCUAAAAGAAAUAACAAAUACUUAACAUUUGUUCAUUCCAGAAAUGUAAGUUGGAGUUCACUGUAAUCACUAAGACACUAAGAUGCUUUGUGUUAGCGUUUUCGCUGUAGCUGAUUUAUGGCAUUCUUGUUUGGUUAUGUUGCUUUUAAAUAGCCAUAAAGCUAACCUGAGACAAAACCAUGAUUUUUACAACCUAUCUGAAAAAUAAAAAUCCUGGUAUCCUUGUGCCCUCUAAUACCAUAUUAUUAGCAAGUACAGUGAUUAGAUGCCUUUUUUUUUUUUAAAGAUUUAUUUGUUGAUUUUAAAAAAUGAGAGUUACUAAGAGUAGAGGAAGACAGGGGUCUUCCAUCUGCUGGUGCGACCCCAAAUUGCUGCAGUGGCCAGAGCUGGGCCAGUCUGAAGCCAGGAGCCAGGAGCCAGGAGCCAGGAGCUCCCUUGGAGUCUUCCACGUGGGUGGGGGCCCAAGCACUUGGGCCAUCCUUCGGUGCUUUCCCAGGCACAUCAGCAGGGAGCUGGAUCAGAAGUGGAGCAUCCAGGACUCAAACCUACGUCCAUGUGGGAUGUCAGUGCCACAGCCUGUGGCUUUACCUGCUAUGCCACUGCACUAACCCCAGAUACUGUUUUUUUUUUUUUUUAAAGUUUGUAAAUUUUUAUUUUUUUGAAAGGCAGAACUGGAGAGGGGUAAGGGAGGAGGGGAGAGAUUUUUCAUCUGCUGGCUUCCUCUCCAAAUGCCUGCAACAGCCAGGGGCCUAAUCCAAGAACCAAAAGCUUCCUCCUGUCUCCUGUGUGCAUGGCAGAAACUCAGGUAGCUGAGCUGUCCCCUGCUGCCUCUGUGGAAGCGGAGGUGGGAUUCAGUCCUAGACACUCUGACUUGGGGUUAAGAAUGUCCUCAUUGGCAACUCAACCUGAUGUGCCACAGUGCUCAUCUUGGUAGUUACGCACUUAAAUAGGUUUGUAAAAAUUUAUGUGGAAGUCAGAGUUAGUUAGACACACAGACACACACACAGAGAUCUUCCAUCUCACUUCCCCAAUGUCUGCAACAGCUGGGGCUGGACCAGGCCAAAGCCAGGAGACUGGAACUCUGUACUGGUCUCUCACCUGGGUGGCAGGGGCCCAAGUACUUGGGCUGUCUUCCGGCAGCAUUCCCAGGCACUUUAGCAUGGAGCCGAGUUGGAAGUGGAGCAGCUGGGAUUCCAACCAGCAUGCAUAUCUGGUGACUGUGUUGCUGGCAGCAGCUUAACCCCGUGAGCCAUGACACUGGCUCCUACGUAGGUGUUUUUGACGAGGGAGCCAACUGCGUGUGAUGGGAGUUCAGCGAUUCCUUCCACUGUUUCCUAUUUCUGAGUUUGCCAAACCCACCUCGUGUAAGACUGACUUGUGGGGAAGAGGUUGUGAAAAACAGGAGAUUCCUGUUUCUAGAUCCAGUGAUUAGGGCAACCAGAGGGGACCUCAGAAGUAUCUGUUAGCUAAGAAGCGUGAUGCCAGUGCUAGUUCUCUCGCGUGGUGUAUGCCUGGUCGUCGGCUGGUCAGGGUUCCGAGGGCAGUUGUGUCUCUGCACAAGGGAGGGGCUGCACGGCCCGUGCACGUCAGUAAACACGGGCAGACGCCAGUACCGUGAGGGCAGGACUGCAGCUGUGCCCUUCGUCAGGAUCUGCUGGUUAUGCCUGAGUGAGUCUGAAGGAAACUGCUCGUGAUGGCCUGGAGGGUGGAGCCCUUCACCGGGCUUGAGGAAAAGCCAACCAUCAGCUUCGUUACUAAGCAGCUGGGAGAGGAGGAGCGUUGAUGUUUUCACCUACUAUCGCUAGUACUUCUGAACUGUGUAAUUAUUGUGUUCUUGCUGUUCUGGUUAGCUGGGGUGAGUGAAAAAGACAUUUCACAAGCCUACAAGUUUUGAUGCACUUGUUAUCUAUUUGUGAAAAGAAAUUAUUUACUGAGUUCAUUCUUAAGGAUGGGUAGAAAACUUAGGAGACAAUAACUUUAUUAUUUUAAAAUUUUUAUUUAAUUUGGAAAGGGAAGGGGGAAAAGCAUGCAAGCAUUCUCUCUCAUUUGCUGGUUCACUCCCCAAAUCCCUGGAAUGGCUAGGACUGGAUCAGGUUAAAGUUAGGUACCAGGAACGGUCUAGAUCACCCACAUGAGUGACAGGGACCCAAGUAUGUGAGCCAUUACUCCUGCCUCCUGAGUUUGCAUUGGCAGGAAGCUGGACUUGAACCCAGGCACUCUGGUAGGGGAUGGGCAUUCUGCUUGCUGGCUUGACUGAUGCACCAAACGCCUGCCCCAGGCCACAGUGCAUUUAAUUUUUCUAUUGCCAGAGUUUUCCUUAUCCAUCAGAACUUCAGGUUUUUCAUUCAGAAUUUUAAAAAGACCCCCAACACACCUCUGCGGCCUGAGUUUCUUUGCUGAGCAAGGAAUUGCCCUUCUCUUGUGACAGGCCCUGGAGCAAUGCGAGUGAUUCCACCUCUUCUGCUGUUGUAGCAGUGGCAGGAGCGUAUUGUUUAAAGAGUUCAUUGGGGCCGAUGCUGUGGUGCCGCGGUUAAAGCCCUGGCCUGCAGCACCGGCUCCAGUCCCAGCUGCCACACUUCUGAUCCAGCUCUCUGCUGUGGCCUGGGAAAACGACAGAAGAUGGCCCAAGUCCUUGGGCCCCUGCACCUGUGUGGGAGACCUGGAAGAAGCUCCUGGUUCCUGGCUUCAGAUCAGCUCAGCUCUGGCCAUUGUGGCCAUUUGGGGAGUGAACCAGCAGAUGGAAGACCUCUCUCUGGUUCUGCCUCUCUCUGGCUCUACUCUCUCUAUAACUCUUUCAACUAAAUAAAAUAAAUCUUUAAAGAAAAAUAAGGAGGUCAUUUCCCCCAGUUGGACUGUUUAAAGAGACUUGCUUUAUUUGGCUUUUUAGGGUUGAGUUAUUUUCUUCUUCAAGGAGACAAAUAUUAACUAGGAGGUUUCGGUGAUUAUUUUCUUCCCUUAAGCAGGUCUGCAUUUGUUUUUUUUUGCCAAAAGUAAGAAGAAGGAAAAUUUCUGCUGUUCUCCUCCAGCUAGCUGCGCCCUCCACCCAGUGAUGAAUUCCAGGGACUGCAGUUCAGGGGUCUUCUACCUUUCAUUGCUCUGCUGAUGUGGGAAACAGUCACUACUUAGCCGUGUGUUCUGCUAACGUGGGAAACAGUCACUACUUAGCCGGAAACAGAGAUGCAAGCUGCAGUGGAGUGAAGCAGAAAGGAACACGUGCUCCUUUCCUUUGGGUCUGGAAGGAUUUACUGUCCGGUUGAUCUCCGGUCCUCCCUCGGGCAGUGCUUGAACCGUCCUUGUCUGGAAUAUUUAAAAGGUUACCAGAGGUUGUUCAAUCAUUUCCUAACCAAAUCUCCCUGUUUUUAAGUAGCUGACACUUGUCAUUUGCGAAGUUCCCUUUUGAACCUUGUGUGCAAGUGUUCUUUGUGGGGCGGCCUAAGUAAGUGAUUACCAAGAACAGGCCUUGCUCACUCAAUCAGGAGAGCAUCCGAGUAUCUUAAAUCACACAAAUAAGUCUUUUUAAUUCAUCAAUUUGUGCAAUACUAAUUGAACUUUAGUGUGAAAGAUGAAAUUUUUAAAGUUUUAUUUAUUUAUUUGAAAGUCAGAGUUACACAGAGAGAAGGAGAGGCAGAGAGAGAGAGAGAGAGAGAGAGAGAGAGAGAGAAGGGUCUUCCAUCCACUGAUUCACUCCCCAAUUGGCCGCAACGGCUGGAGCUGCACCGAUCUGGAGCCAGGAGCCUCUUCCAGGUCCCCCAUGUGGGUGCAGGGGCCCAAGGACUUGACCCAUCUUCUGCUUUCCCAGGCCACAGCAGAGUGCUGGAUCGGAAGUGGAGCAGCCAGGACUGGAACUGGCGCCCAUAUGGGAUGCCGGCACUACAGAUGGUGGCUUUACCGCUAUACCACAGCGCCAGCCCCAAAAGAUGAAAUUUUACUAGUAGUAUUUGACAAAUUGGACAAUAACAAUAUUGUUUAAGUAAGUACUGGUGGUCACUUACUGGAACUGGAAGGAACCAAAAAUUAUAAUUGGCUGCCUUGCUAGAAGCUCUUACUCAAGUUUCUAUGUUAUUUGGUUUUUUUGGAGUUUAGCUAAUUCCUUUUUUCCCUUACAUUUAAAACAACAGCCAUAACUGUAUAAUUACCAGUGUCUUUUUAAAAAAAAAAAAAACACAAUGUUUACUGCUACUUUUUUUAAAAAAAGAUUUAUUUUUAUUUGAAAGAGUUACACAGAGAGAGGAGAAAGAGAGAGAGAGAGAGAGAGAGAGAGAGGUUUUCCAUUCACUGAUUUACUUCCCAAUUGGCCACAGUGGCCGCAGCUGAGCCGAUCCGAAGCCAGGAGCUUCUUCCGGGUCUCCCACGCGGGUGCGGGGGCCCAAGCACUUGGGCCAUCUUCUACUGCUUUCCCAGGCCACAGCAGAGGGCUGGAUUGGAAAUGAAGCAGCCGGGACUCGAAUCAGCACCCACAUGGGAUACCGGCAUUGUAGGCAGCGUCUCUACUCACUAUGCCACAGCGUCAGCCCCUACUGCUACUUUUUUAAAAAAAAUUAUUUGUUUGAAAGUCAGUGAAAAAGAGAAAAAUGGAGGGACAGAGAUCUGCCAUCAGCUGGUUCACUCUAAGAGCCUGUGUAGUGCAGGGCUGGGCCAGGCCAAAGCCGGCAGCUGGAAGCUCCAUCCAAGUCUACCAUGGAUAGCAGGAUGUCACCCACGGCCUCACAGGGUUUGCAUUAGCAGGAAGCUGGAACUGAGAGCAGAGCUGGGACGCAAGCCAGGCAUUCCAAAAUGGGAUGUGACUGCUGGUCCCAAGGCCUGCCACUGGCCACUGUUUAAGUGCUUUGUCUAUGUAUUUUACUUUGUCUUUGCAACAGCACUGCAAAAUGCAGGUGCUACCUAUAGUAUGCAGAUGUGAAAUGUAAGCCUAGGAGCUGGGAGUCACUCCCGGCGCCUCACAGCAGUUAUAGCAGCAUCAGGGUUCCAGGGCGGCCUCAGGAGUCAGCCUCCUGCUCACUCUCACCAGCUCUGUCCUUCGCGGUGCCUGUUUGCGGCAUCUCCUCCAGCCCUUCUCCUGGGUCAUGCAGCUGUUUGUGUCUUGCUUUGUUCUCCCUCCCUUUUCCAAACGAGAAUUCAUAAACUCAGAUUCUAUUGGCACCUAGGGCCAGGCAUGAUUAUUCUCCCGGGAAAAACAUUGCCUGCAUCUGUAAUGCGGAAAACUCUUUUCUUUUAAUUUUAUUUCUCAUAACGAGUUGGCCCAUAAAUAUUUCCAAGCAAGCUGAGUCUCCUGGUUCUUGUGUUGUCCAGGAGGCUGUUAGAAAGGAUAUUUCAGAAUCAAGCUUGACCACUAAAAAAUUAUUCUUGUAGCUAUUAGGACAAAUCUCAGUGCCAUCGUGUCCUCUGCUCUACAAACUCACGAUGAUCUGUUAUUUCCAAAGAAUGUGUAUGUGGUCUGUGUCAUAUCAGUGCACUCAUUUCUUUCUUUUUUAUUCUUUUAAAUUUGUUAAAAAAGAUUUAUUUUAUUUAUUUGAAAGAUAAGAGUUACAGAGAAACAGGUCUUCCACCCACUGGUUCACUCCCCAGAUGGCCGCAACAGCCAGAACUAAGCCAAUCCAAAGGCGGGAGCCAGGAGCUGCUUCCAGGUCUCCCACAUGGGUGCAGGGGCCCAAGCACUUGGCCAUCUUCUACUGUUUUCCCAGGCCAUAGCAGAGAACUGGAUUGGAAGAGGAGCAGCCAGGGCUAGAACCAGCUCCCACGUGGAUUGCCGGAACUUCAGGCCAGGGCUUUACCCUCUGCGCCACAGCGCCGGCCCCUCUUUCCUUCCUUCUCUUCCUUCUUCCUUCCUUCCUUUUUUUUUUUUUUUUUUAGAUUUAUCUUAUUUAUUUGAAAGACAGAGUUACAGAGAGAGGUCAAGAUAGAGACAGAGAGAGGUCUUCCAUCCGCUGGUUCACUCCCCAGAUGGCCACAACGGCCAGAGCUGCGCUGAUCUGAAGCCAGGAGCCAGGAGCUCCUUCCGGGUCUCCCACGUGGGUACAGGAACCCAAGGACUUGGUGUAUCUUCCACUGCUUUCCCAGGCCAUAGCAGAGAGCUGGGUAGGAAGAGGAGCAGCCAGGACUAGAACCUGCGCCCAUAUGGGAUGCGGGUGCUUUAGGCCAGGGCUUUAACCCACUGUGCCACUGCACCGGCCCCAAGUGCACUCAUUUCUUACUGUGGCUUAUCUUGCUCCUUUGUUGACGUCCUUUCUUGUGGCUUAAACCAUUUUGGCUUUUUCUUUUGAGUUGGCACAGUAUGAACAUUUGAUGAAUGGUCCUCUUCAUCAGAAGUGUGGGUGUCGUGGUGUGAACAGUGUUCUCGGUGUGUAAAGCAGCUUCCAGUUCAUACCUGGGAGCAGCUGCAUCCCUGUUCUGUGCUUAGCAAGGAGCACUAUCGUUCUGUGCAGGCAGGUGAGUCCUGUGGGAAAGUGCGAGACAGUUAGCACACAAGUAUCACCGAUUCCCUCCAACCAAGCUUGUAUUCAUCUGUAAGGGACAAGAAUCCAUUUUGACUCUUAAUAGCUAAGCAUGAAGUGUGAUACUGAGUUCAUUUAAUUGUACACCCACCUUGUUUGUAGUCUGUGGGGAGCAACUCGGACUAGACUGUUACUGGAAUUAAGACUUAUUCUAUGCAUCUGCUCUCCCACAAUAUGGCGCUGAGAAGGGAGUAACAACUUCUACGCAGCUGCCUCCAGUUCAACCAAUAAACUGUAGGACCUGCUCCUGAUUGGAGGAGAGCAGCGUACUCGGCGUGUGGGUAGCAGAGUUGGGAUUGGUGGAAGAGGACUAUAAAGGAGGAGAGAGACAACAUGCACCAGGAACAUCUAAGAGGAACACCUGUGCAGCCCCCGAGAGAGCCGGCCGGUGGUGUGCCGCUCCCCCGCGGAAGUGGGGAAAGUGGCAGGGGGAACCGCCCUUCCACGGAGGUGGAAGGGACGGUAGCCAAUCCGGGAAGAACCAGCAGCAAACCCGGGGAGGGCCGAGCAGACAAAAGAACAGCUCAGGGUCCUGUGUCGUUCCUCCGUGAGGAGGGGGAGCGACAGUAGUCAAACCAGAUUAUGCCAUCAAGAAGUGAUCAUCGCUCGGCGACACCUUAGCAUCUGAGUUGUGCAUAGUCUUUAGCACAGGCUGUGAUUGUGCCAGGUAUAGCACAGACAAUGCGUAUGUGCUCUCACUUGGGAUUUCUCCUUUAUGACUGCUCCUUUUACUGACGGGUGCUCCCCUAUGAUACUCCCGUCAGUAACUGACAGCGGUGCUUCUAUUGGAAAUGUUAAUAAUGGCUAGUGUGUAGGAAAAGCCAGGCACCGUGCUCUGCACUUCUGUGCUUUUUCAUACUUGGUUCUCUCCCAAACCAGAUGAGGGACACACCACUUUCUUUUUUUCAGAUGACGGGAGUUGGUAUACUUGCCCAGUGUCACACAGAUGGCAGAUGCUUAGAACCAAGCCUCAGACACAUCUCUUCUGAUUAUAAAUUCUCCCGCAUCACAGGAAUGCCCUUGACAAUCUUUGAUAAAUGAAAAAAAAUCUGUGGCCACAUUUUUGUUUGAUUUAUUUCAACAGUAAACAUGUAAGGAAAGUCUACUUGAAGUCCACCGCGUUGGACCGGUGUUGUAUAUUGGGUUGAGUUGCUGCCUGCAGCGCUGGCAUCCCCUGUGGGCUGCUGAUCCAAGUCCCAGCUGCUGUAGUUCUGAUCCAGCUCCCUGCUAAUGUGCCUAGGAAAGCAGUGUGGGAUGGCCCAGGUCCUUGGGCACCUGUACCCUUGUGGGACACUCUUGGCUCCUGGCUUCUGCUUGGCCCAGCCCUGGCUAUUGUGGCUGUUUGGGGAGUGAGCCAGCAGAUGGAAGAUCCCCCCUCCCGUAGCUCUUCCUUUUAAAUAAGUAUUUUUUUUAAAAAUCCACUGCAUGGCCACCCACAGAGGUUAGACUACAGUCAGGUGUAUAUUUUUAAUAGGAUAUGCAGUUUAUCUUUUUCUGUAUGUUGGAUUAUACACAGUUAUGCUUGAAUUUCAAUUUUUUUUUGCACCAAAAUAAACUUGUCUUGUAAUUCCAUCUUCAGUGAGCUCUUUGAAGUGUGCUCCUAAGGACGUACACCUGCGCCUUGUGCUGUACAGCAAUGACUUCUGAGAAGCGGGCUUGAUUUCAGUGAACUUGCAAUGCACGUUCUGUGCUCUGCAUGCCGUCCUGUCCAUCAUCCUUUCCCCUUCUUUUUCAUAAUGAAUUUUUCUGAGUCCCAGGCAGAAAAUCAUAUUAAAGUGGAGUUUACUUACGUUAAGGUUUAAAAGGUAAGAACUGCAAUGGUUUCUGCUGUAAUUUGGCCUCUGUUGUGUUUUCAAUCUUCUGCUAAUUCCUUGUGAUCAGAUGUUUUAAUACUAAUUAGAAAUUAAAGUUCUUUGUUUCUUUUUUUAAAAAGGAUUACUUUAAAUACUUAUUUACUUGAAAGACAGGGGUGAGGAGGGAGAGAGAGAUUGAGAUUGAGAUCUUCCAUCUGCUGGUUUGCUGCCCAGAUGGCUGCAACAGCUGGGGCGGGGCCAGGAUGAAGUCAGGAGCCUGGAACUCCAUCCGGGUCUCCCACAUGGGCAGCCUGGGUCCAGGCACAUGGGCCAUUAGCAGGGAACUGGAUCAUAAGUGGAGCAACCAGGACUCGCACUGGCACUCAUAAUAGGAUGCUGGCUUUGCAAGUGGAGGCUGAACCUGCUGCACCACAAUGCUGGGCACGCGGUGAGAGUUCUUUACAGUGAUGGCUUAUGAGUAAAUAGGAUUUGAAUGCUUUCAUUUGAAGAUAAUGUGUGAGCUUACGUGGGAGAGAAAAGGAUCAGCUUGAAUGAGGACAUUUUUAAAUGUGUGUGACUAAAACGAUCCUGGAUAUAAUCAUACAGAAAGAGAUUCUAAAUAUUUUGAGAAAUAUGUACGAGUUUGUUUCAGGAGUUGAAAAUAUUGAUUAAAAACCGAUAGCAACGUUGAAUUUCAUGAUGAGUUUUCUUCUGUGAUUCGGGUUUCAGAAAGCCAGUGAUUAGAAGGCAUCUUACUUGUAUUUGGGAGUAGUUUUAGGAAUAGCAAAUCAUGUUUUCUGAACAUUGCGUAUGUGUAAUUUUUAUCUCCCUUGUAACUUUUCUUUCUACAAAAGAGCUCUUUGAGUUAAAGAAACAAUUUAGAUUGUGACAGCAGUUGUGGUAAUUUGCAGUCACAGCGCACAUAAUUCCUUAUCUUCAUACAGGUUGAAUUAGGCUCCUGCUGUGGUCAGUUGGGUAAAUAAAUAGAAAAUGGUGGUGCCUUUCAAGAAUCAAAUGGUUGCUUGAUAGACUUUUCUUUUGAGAGCCAUUUGAUUUAGAUCAUCUGCCAGAUACGUGAGUGUAAAGCAGUACAAGCUCUGAAGGGAAAAGUCUUCAGAACCCAGCAUGCAGAGGCAAACCUUAGCUUCGGCUCCCGUGUGCUGACACAUUUUUAAAUUUAUUAAAAAUCUGGGAAUUCUUACUGAAAAAACUCACUUAUGAUAACUCUCAUAAUUGUUACUUGAACCUAAUUUUUGACCUCCAGGGAAGCGUACCUUUCACUCUUUACACUUAGAAUUCAGGUUUGGUGUCCGUAUUAAUGCGUGCAGAUGGUAAAGCCUACUUGGGGCCUGCCCACAUCUGCACCCGAGUCUCCACAGCACAGUCCUGUGUGUUGAGCGUGCUUUUGCCACCAUUGUUCACAUGGCACUGGUUCUCAGGGUAAUUUGUCCCCAGGUGGGAAGCAUACCGGUGGCAGAGUUGUCGAUCUUAGCUCAGCCUGGCUCUGGAGCCCAGUCUCUCAUCUACUGUGCUGGCCCACAAGGUUAUUAAAAGACAGCUUUCAGGAGUUGCAUUUGUUAUGUUUGUUAAUGCCCUCUCCCUCAUUAAAUUACACGGGAAAAAAGAGGGGGACUGUAAUUUAGAAUCUUGCUAUUGCUUGCUGCUACACACUUAGAAAUACCUGUUGUAAGUAGGAAUCAUCUCUAAUGGUGACUGUUUAUUGCUUGCUGGGCUAUUUAAGGACUCCCUCCCCGCCCCAAUUUUGAACGAUACUCUUCCAGGAAAGAGAAGUACUAAGUCAUUAUCCCUACUGAAACACAGGCAUGCUGGAAGUAAAUGGUUUAGUUAUUUUACUUACUCAGUGAGAAUGGUUUUUCUAUGGCAAUAAUUUUGUGUAUGAUCAUUUUACUUAUUUUAUAGAUUUAUAACAUGGUGGCAACUGUGAAAGAAUCAGUGCCCCCCCCCCCCGCCCCCAUUAACAUUCCGUUAGCUCUUCACAUGAGAGACAGUCAUAGAGGCAUCACUGGGAGGUGUCGACAUUGAGUGUUGAGUGAGCACUCUGUCUUGAUGGAGAGUUCUGUGUGGGGGCUGGCUUUAUUUUUGAGGGGUCAAACUGGUUGUUUAUGAGACAGAAUAAAGCAAAUAAGAAAAGGCUCAAUGAAAAUGCAAGUCCCUAUUUCUUAACACUAUUGCAGAAAGUCAUCUGGGCCUGCAUGUGAAGACAAAAGUGGGAGCUAAGACACGUCAAGAAAAGUUGAUGUUUCGUUAAUAGAUUUAAGUAAUUGGGUGAGAAUACAAUCGAGUCACCUUUUCCAGUGCAUUGAAGAGUUAUAUCGAUUGACCUGACACGUUCGAAUCAAGGGCUUACUCUGUGCUGGAGGCUGGAGAGUUCUUUAAAAUGUUUUUUUGCUUAUUUCUUCUGUAAUUUUUAAAUUAUUUUUUUCCUCCUACUAAUUUUGGUUUGGUUUGUUGUUUUUUUCUUUAAGUUUGUUUAUUUAUUUGAAAAACAGAGAUGGGGGGAGAGAGAGAGGGAGAGAGAGAGAGACACCUUCCAUCUGUUUGUUCAUCCCUCAAACGGCCAGGUCCAGGCCAGGAGUCAGGAGCUUCUUCUGGAUCUCCCACGUUGGUUCUGGGGCCUGGGUACUUGGGCCAUCGUCCUCUGCUUUUCCCAGGUGCAUUAGCAGGGAGCUGGGUUGGAAGUGAAACAGCCAGGACUGGAACCAGCCUCUGUAUCGGAUGCCGGCAUUGGAGGCUUAACCGUCUAUGCCAUAGUGCCAGCCCUGGCUGUAUGCUUUUAACAGAUGCCAAGAAAGCUUAUUAAAGCAUCAGAGAGGUUCUGGAAAACAAGGGCACAUGUUGCAGUAGUGGAUUCAUGAGCGGCACCCAGAUGAGUGUGGAGAAUUAGUAGUACACAGAUAAAGUGAGCAAAGUUGAAUCCUGGCUGUGAUGGCUGCCAGGUAUCUUUAGUAUAGCUAGUAUUGCGUUGGUUUGUUGUCAGGAAUAGAGUACUUUAUAAUGUCUUAAUAAAUGACUCUAGGUGUCAACACACACACACACACACCUCCACUCAAACACCCACAGACCUAAACUUAUUUUUCAAAAGUGAUAUGCUAGGACUUGUUUUAUUCCUAAAUUGUUACCUCUGAACAUGAUCUUAAUUCUGGAAGGUGCUUGUUGAAACCACCUUCAGGACUAAUUGUGAGGUUUCAUGAGGUACGGAUGUAGUGUGCAUUUCCUGGCUAGAUAACCAUCCCACACAUCACCACUGAUCGUUUUCCAUUUGCCUCUCCCCUUGUUACAAAGGAGCAAGGAGGAGGAGCGUGGGGGAAACGUGAAUGACUGAGACAGUGAGGAUGAAUCUGGACGAGAAGCGUGAAUAGGAGAGCAUCUCUCCUGGAGAUGUGAGCGUCUGCCGUGGCAGAUACAGUCACCCAGCGCGUGUGUGUAACAGUUUAAACGCUGACUUAGGUGUCUUUCCCUGUGGUGGUUGUUGGAUGUAAACGAUCGACAUUUGGGAUCGGUAUGGGAAGUAGGGAUCAAGAACAGCCAGCACAAUGUCUGGCACGUUGCAAGAAGCUGUCACUUCAUACUACAGAGCGGUACCACACCAUGAAUAGUUUGAACAAUAGUUUGAAGCAACAGGUUUGGAACCAGUAUUUUACUGUGCUAGUUAAUAUUACUAAGAAUGACAUCUCUACAAAAGUAAUAGAUUGAACCCAGUAUCAGAACAGUAAAGUGAAUGGCAGAAUCAUAAAUGCAGGUGUUUACUCAUUUUAUGAGUUAGUCCAGUUUUCUCUUUUUGUAUUCAUCUUAAGACAAGCAAAGUUCAGAGUACUGCAAGCAUGCAAGAUGGGACAGACACGACUAUGAAUUCCUUCCAAAAAUCUUUAAUAUAAUUUGACCUUGAAAUAUGUAAUACUGGAAUAUAUUCUGCAAACUUAAAAAAAACACUCAUACAAAGAGCCUUCUAUAUUUCUUGACUUUUUUUUUUUCCCUUUUGGGGGGAAAGGGAAAAGGUCUGCGGGAUAAGUUUAUUUAAUAUGACAUCAGUUGAAUAAAGCCAGCUGUGAGUAAUUAUCGCUGAUAUUUGAUUUCCAGCUGUUUUGUUGAACUGUUAGUGGUUCUCAAGGUAUUUGGAUAUUAAUUAAAUGAUGACUCAGUGUAAAGAAGUUCUAUUUAAAGUAGUGGUGCAUCAAAUAGAAUGUUAAAUUUCCCACCUGCUACAGACUUUGAAUUCUUUCUGCUGUAUCUGUUCCUUUUAAAUUUUUUUUUAAAGGUUUAUUCAUUUAUCUGAGAGCAAGAGUUACAGAGAGAGGGAGAGACAGAGAAAGAUCUUCCAUCCGCUGGUUUACUUCCCAGGUGGCCGCAAUGGCCAGAGCCUGGCCUAUCCAAAGCGAGGAGACAGGCGCUUCCUCUGGGUCUCCCAUGCCAGUGCAAGGGCCCAAGCCAUAUUUUGCUUUCCCAGGCCAUAGCAGAGAGCUGAAUCAGAAAUGGAGCAGCCGGGACUCAAACCAGCACCUGUAUGGGAUGCCGGCACUGCAGGUGUCGGCUUUACCUGCUAUGCCACAAUGCCGGCCCCUCCACCAGCAUCUUAACCCCUAGGCUACUUGCUUGCCCCAAGAUCAGAUGAUUUCUGGCAAUGAUUUUCCAUAUAUGAAAUCUAUAUAUAACACAGAAAGAGAAUUAAAAGAAUAUUCUGUUUGCCUAAAGGCUUCUGAAGUCAGUUUAUCAGUAGUGAGCAAUUCAUAUCAGAUUGAAUUUUGAACAUCAAAUUCUGCACACAAUUUGAAAAGAAAUCACAGAGGAUAGAAGAAAAAUACAAGAUAAUUAAAGAAUGAAAUAAGAAGUUAGGAAAUAGAAACUGGUCGAAUGUGCUUCAUAGCCUUAUGGAAAGAGCAAAGGCAUAAAUCAAACCAAGCAAACCCGCAGACACGCGGGCAGCGAGGCUGGGUGGUGCUUGUGGGUCUGCAGUGCUAAGUACUGAGCAGACCUGCCGGGUUAGUCUCUCUGGGCUUCACCGUCAGAAUGGAGAAGUUAGCGUGGUUCCCCCCGUCCACCUCUCUGUCACACAAGUUCCCGAAUGGAGUGCUUGUAGACGUUUUCCAGGGGUUAUGAGGAGCAAAAGCAGGUGCAGGAAUGUGGUCCCUCUCUGGGAGCGCAGUCUUUAACAGUGGUAUCUGUAUUGUCUUGUUCCCCCAGAUGUUUCAUACGUACAAUCAGAAAUUCCAACAAUGAGAAAGGAACAUGUGACAAAUUCCUCUUGGAUGAUGCGUGGAUGGGUGUUUAGGAGAUGAGAAUAGGGGAGAGCAGGAUAGAGUGGUUUGAAUCGGCUGUUCUGAGGAUGUGUGUUGAUGCCCCUCAGGAUGGCUUGGGUGGUCAGUGCGUGCCAGGCAGGAGGCAACGCGGUUCUUGCAAGGCAGGCGGGGAGGAUGCAGUUGACCUCAGAUGCAGGCUGGGAAGAGCACUGGGUGCCUGUGUGGCAGUUGCGAUUUGGUGCUCAGUGGAAGUGUUUCAGCAGGCGAGGGGAACAGCCUAGAAACCUGCUUGGGUCCUUUACUUUUGCUUGCAUAAUAAGUGAUGAAAAUGGAGAAGGCCCUGGACUUGUCCCUGCUAUUGAAAAUAAAAUGAGCCGGCGCCGCGGCUCACCAGGCUAAUCCUCCACCUUGCGGUGCCAGCACACCGGGUUCUAGUCACGGUCGGGGCACUGGAUUCUGUCCUGGUUGCCCCUCUUCCAGGCCAGCUCUCUGCUAUGGCCCGGGAGUGCAGUGGAGGAUGGCCCAAGUGCUUGGACCCUGCACCCCAUGGGAGACCAGGAGAAGCACCUGGCUCCUGCCAUCGGAUCAGCACGGUGUGCUGGCCGCGGCAGCCAUUGGAGGGUGAACCAACGGCAAAGGAAGACCUUUCUCUCUGUCUCUCUCUCUCACUGUCCACUCUGCCGGUCAAAUAAAUAAAUAAAUAAAUAAAAUGAAAACUCUAAGACUUAACAGGAUUUUUCAAAAAACCUAAUUAAACGUGUGAAAGAAAAGAGUUGCAGCAAGUAGCAGCCAAGUUGAGCGUGACUCCUGGGGAGGCUUCCUUGCAGGAGGGGCCGCUGUGUCUGAAGCGUAUGGCGUGCAUCUGGCACCAUGUGAAGAGGUGCUGCAGCAGGCUCUGGGGGCGCAGCUCAGCUGGUGAUGGCGAGGGCUUGGAAGUCAUCUGUGUAGGCUGAGAAGAGAGACAGUCCUGUGGGACGAGGUCUUGAGAAGAUACCCGGGGCACAGAGCCCUGCGUAGCCUUCAGAGCUGUGUGCUCAGGCCUGGGGAGACCCGGGGAAGGGCUGUCCAAAGGCAGCACUGCCCCCUUCCCGAUGUUUUGUCUUCCCUUCCCUUUUGUGUUUCUUUUUUCCUUGUUUGUCAUCAUUUAAUGUCUUCAAUGCGUUAUUUAAUCUUGCUUGUCUGACUAGACGGUCAUAUCCGCAAAGAUAGGGAUUUUGGUCUGUUUUAUAUGCUGUUGCAUUCUUAGCAAUUUACAGUAAUGCUUGAAGCUUUUCGUGGCUCAGGGGGAGAAAAAUAUUAAUUUGAUUUAAAAAAGAUCAUUGGUGAUCUUGGAGAAAGAUGUGUCAGUAAACUUAGGGGCAAAGGUCACAUUUCCUGAGGUUAUACAACAACUAGAUAGCUGUGAAAAGUGGGACAGUGGAGCUGCACCUGUCAUUCCAGAAUGCCGGCCAAGGAGCAGAACCCUGGCUGCAGAGGACGUGGGAGGGACCAAGUGAAGGCUUUCCAAAGCAGGACACUUGUGUGCUUGUAGGAUUGGAAAUGAUGCAGAGGGCGCAGUGUAGUAGUUCAGAAAUCCAAGUGUAGGUUGUUAUUUUACUUGCAAUUCUGUUUACUUGAAUGGCUUACUAAUUUCAAAAAAGACAUUCAAAAAGGGGAUGAAGAGGGGAAAUACUGCUUCUGGUUUUUUCACCCCUGUUUUUAGUUUGUAAAAAUUUAAUUUUUGCUCAGGAUACUAAUAGUAAAGGCAGAAUAAGUAUUUUCAGGGACAAAAGGGUGAGAAGGAGUUUACUAGACUAUCAGACUUGUUUUUGCACUGAGUCUUCAACUCAAAAGAUAAUUGGUCCCCUUGGGCAAUACCCAUACCUAAAUAUUUGGUGGAAUUCUCACUGGCAUGAUAAAGCAAGGGUUCGUAAAGGUUACAUGUGUACCAUUUUAAUGGUGUGCAAUACUUCCUUUCUUGAACAAAAAGGUAAAACAGUGCUCUGGUUCCAAUGAAUAAGAAAUGGGACAGAUGGUAUUUAUCUGACAUAUAGGUUAAGCUUGCAUAACCUUAUAUUAAAUGACAUGGCAGUGCAAGCAGUUUUCAAUGUGGUAGAUUUAGUUUCAUAAUUAUCAAUUGUUUUUUGAUUUGUUAAAAUUCUCCUAAACAUGAGGAUCAACAACAGUAACAAUUUUAAAAAUAAGAUGUAUUAUAUAUACAGUAUAUUAUCCAAGAACCUGAUGCCAUCGCUCAAAACAUUUUUAGGAUUUAUUCUGGGGUCUUGAUCAGAGUGGCUUAGUGAAUCCCACAAAGAAGUGAGCCUCUCUAUUUCAUGCAGUUCUAUGUUAUUUUUGAGCCUGAUUGAACUUAGAUGACAACUCAUGCACCUUAGUUCUGGGUGAAUGUUGGAUGCCCUUAAAAAAGCCAAACCUGCCCGGACAGUGUGAAGAACAUGCUUACAGGUGUUCUUGAGCACACUGACUUCACGCACACCCCAGCGGCCAGGUGUUCCUGCGCACACUGACUUCACGCACACCCCAGCGGCCAGGUGUUCUCGAGCACUCUGACUUCACGCACACCCCAGCGGCCAGGUGUUCUCGAGCACGCUGACUUCACGCACACCCCAGCGGCCAGGUGUUCUCGAGCACGCUGACUUCACGCACACCCCAGCGGCCAGGUGUUCCUGCGCACGCUGACUUCACGCACACCCCAGCGGCCAGGUGUUCUCGAGCACGCUGACUUCACGCACACCCCAGCGGCCAGGUGUUCUUGAGCACACUGACUUCACGCACACCCCAGCGGCCAGGUGUUCUUGAGCACACUGACUUCACGCACACCCCAGCGGCCAGGUGUUCCUGCGCACGCUGACUUCACGCACACCCCAGCGGCCAGGUGUUCCUGCGCACGCUGACUUCACGCACACCCCAGCGGCCAGGUGUUCUUGUGCACACUGACUUCAUGCACACCCCAGCGGCCAGGUGUUCUUGAGCACGCUGACUUCACGCACACCCCAGCGGCCAGGACCUUAGUGUGAACGGCCAGGGAAAGGCAGGAAGCGCAUCCCCCGUUUUUGCCUUUGGUUUUUCCUCUCCCCAGUUCAUCGUGUGGCUGGCAGUUGACUUUGGCAGCUGCUGGGUGCAGGGCGGGGGAAGGCAAGCCCCACCCUUGGCCUGCACAGCCGGUGGUUCUGCAGAGUGGGGUUUCCUUCCCGGGGCCUGCACGUUUUGGCAGGAGGCCUCCCUCUAUAUGGUUGUUGAGCUGUAAUAAAUUCAAGUAAGUCAAUAAACGUAUGCUUUGGAAAUGACGUCACUUCUCUAGUGCCAGAAGGGCCUGAUGUUAAAUAUAGGAUCUAAUCACGUUUCUGUGUGCACAUUAGGUGCAGAGAGCCACUUGUGAAGUGAAAGCAGGACAGGUUACAGAUAGAUUUUUCAUGUAAUACUUUGGUUGGUGUAGGUAUCCUGAGGAUCAGAGGCCAGGAGAGGAAUAGGAUAUGAAAGUUGGAUAACAGCUGGCAGCAAUGACAGAAAGCCCGAAAGCAUUUGCUGACCUUGGGGGUAACAUAGGGAAGGGACGAGAACUCAGAGUUUGGGUUCUUCCCUCUGCCAGUCUCUGUUGAAACUGCCAACUAAGUAGAAGUGGGCAUUUUUAUUAGGAAAAGUAUAAGUUGUGGUUAAGGAUUGUUUCUUCCCGAAUCCUGCUGUUUUCUACUUGAAUUUAAAGAAGUUUAUUUUUUAAUAAACACUGUCCAUGCUUUUAAUGGGCAAGCGUGUUUUGAAGUAUGUAUACAUUGUGGAAUAGCUCAAUCAGACUAACUAGCAUGCGUUACCUCGCAUACCAUUGUUUUGUGCGAAGAAUUUUCUCAGCGGUUUUUGAGAAUGCAAUGCAUAGUUGUUUACUGCAGUCAGCGUGUUGUACCACAGACUCUUGCAUUUAUUCCUGGUAUCUAACUGAAAUUUGGUAUCCUUUGACCAACAUUCGACCCCCUACCCCUACCCUGGCACCACAGCUCCAGGGGAAUAUUCUACUCUCUGCUUUUUAGAUUCCACACAUACGUGAGUGAGAUCAGUGCAGUAUUUGUCUUCCUCUGCUGGCUGUUUUGCUUAACGUGACGUCCCCAGGCUCAUCCUUAUUGUCACCAAUGACAGAAUUCCAUUCUUUCCCAGGAGCCUGUGGUAUCCCAAUCUGUGUCUGUAACCACGUUUUCUUUAUGCAUUCUUCCGUUGAUGGGCACUUAUCUUGACUGUUGUGAUGCAGCAGUGAGCAUGGAUGAGAAUGUCUUUCAUAUGCUAAUUUCAUGCCCUUUAGAUAGAAACCCUUUAGUGGGACUACUAGCUCAUGGUAGUUCCAUUUUUAAUAAACUAUUUAUAUUUAUUUAUAUAUAUUUAUUUAUAUAUUUCUAUUUAAUAAACCUCUGCACGGUUUUCCAUAAUCGCGCUAAUUGACAUUCCCACCAGUGAUGUGGGAAGGUAACCUUUCUGUUGCCUUCCAUGUGUUUGAGAACAGCCAUCCUACCAGGUGCGAGGUGAGUGAUGGUGAGCGUUUUUUCAUUGACCUGCUGGCCAUCUGCACGUAUUCUUUUGAGAAGCGUCUAUUUGGGACCUUCGCUCAUUUUUAAAUUGGGUUAUUUGUCUUCUUGCUAUGGAGUUGUUGGAGUUCCUGAUGUGUUUUUGAUAGCAAGCCCUUGUCAGAUGUGUAAUCUGCAGGCGUUUUCUCCCCCCAUUCCGUAGGUUGUCCCUUCGCUCUGUUGAGUGCUCCCUUGGCUGUGCACAUGUGACUGAUGUGCUGAUGUGACCCCAUUUGGCAAUUUUUGCUUGCACUGUUGGGGAGCAUCCAAAACAGUCACUGCCAGCGCAGUGUCCUGGAACACCCCCGCCAUGUCGUCUUCUGCUGCUUCAGGUUUAGGUCGUAAGUGGACGUCUUUAACCCGUUCCGAGUUGGUGCUUGCGUGUGGUGUGAGACAAGGAUCUGGUUUUGUGCUUUUGCAUGUGGGUAACCAGUUUUCCCAGCAUCCUUUGUUGAAGAGACCAUUCUUUCCCCAUUGCCUGUUCUUGGCACCUUUCUGAAAACUCACUUGACCUUAAAUGAGUGAAUUUAUUUCUAGGUUCUCUUGUGUUCAGUAGUCUACUUCUUAGGUAUCUAUUAUAAGACUGUUACAGCAUUGUCUUUUACUUCAUUUUAUGUAUUUAUUUUUAAAGAUUUAUUGAUUUAUUUGAAAGGCAGGGUUACAGAGAGGCUGAGGGAGAGACAGAGAGGGUCUUCUGUCUGUUGGUUCACUCCCCAAAUGGUCACAACAGCCGGAGCUGGGCCGAUCAGAAGCCGGGAGCCAGGAGCUUCAUCUGGGUCUUCCACAUGGGUGCAGGCGCCCAGGUUCUUCCGCCGUCUUCCACUGCUUUCCCAGGCACGUUAGCAGGAAGCUGGGUUUGAAACUAGCAUCUGAGACUGGAACCGGUAUUCUGAUGUGGGAAGCUGGCUUUGUGGGCAGCAGCUUAACCUGCUGCACCACAGCCCUGCCUCACUUAACUCCUUUUCUAUAAUCUCUAUUCUACCCUUUCCAAAACUGUAUCUGGUUGGAUGGCUGCACCAUCCCUUUUCCCUGGCUGCCUCAACUUUUCUGGACAAAUCUGAAUGGGAAACCAUCUCUGAACACUGCCUAAAAUUUCUUGAGUAUGUUAGCUCAUUGCUGGACCAGUGGUGGUGGAAGGCUUCAAUUACUUGAGUGGAAUAUUCUCAUUUGCUUCCCUUGUCCUCUUGAGAAACAAAAAAGUCCAAGAGUAAGUAAAACUGUUGGUGGUUGGCUCCUCAGUAAAGCAUUCAAGAUGGGAAAAACAGAUGUCAAAUUAUUUUUGUCUUUUGUCCUAGAAAAAAUGGCAGCAAUGAGCUUUUCUAUAUUUAACACCUCCUUCCUUUCAGAGCGCACUUCCUUUUUGCGAAGAGGCCAUAAAGAGCCCGUGUCCACAGUGGCCCCUUCUGCUUUGCCUCUAUGAAGACCGCCAGCCUCCCCCAGGACUGCCGAGCUCACAAAAGGCACUGAUGGAGUCUGUGAGGCAGACCUGUGGCCCGAGCCUGGAUGUCCUGCAGGUGCUGGGUGUAGAAUCCCUGGCUCUUGUUGUAGAGAUAGGAAUUCCAGGGGUGACGUGGGCCCGCCCUGCCCAGCCCCAGUGCAGCAAGGGUUCCCUGAGCCGAACCAGCACCAGCCCGUCCCUAAGCAAAUGAACUGAGGUGUGGACUGUGUUGUUAGAGAACACAGCGGAGGGUCUUUGCCUGGUGGCCUUAAAAAACUGUCGUGAAAAGUGGUCCCGAAAUUGCUUUAUUGUAGUGGGGUGUAGGUUUCUGUGUGUAUACCGUUGAUGUAGUUUUUCGGUAUUUGUAUUUAAAUGAUUGUUAACUGAAAAUAUAGUCACUUGUUGGGGAGCAAACAUUUGCCUGUGCGAAUAAUGUGGGGAAUUAAAAUCUGACGACAAAUGUGCAGCCUGAGAGAUUAAAGAAAUAACUUUACAAUGAAGGCAUCUUUUGUCGGGUUUAUUCUUCUUGCCACUUAGGAGAUGUGAAUUCUGGGAAGCUGUAGGCUGGUGGCGUAAUGCAUUGUUCUGAGGGGGAAAUACUUGGACUGGCUUUUGAAAAAACAGGAAUUGCGGACAGAUUGGGACACUUGAUAUUUUCCUUGUUCACAAGGCAAAGUUUUUGGUUAGAGCCAGCUUGUUGAUAUUUAAAUUUCAAUCUGUGCUUCUCUGAGUGUCCUCCCCCGCCCACGAGGACAAACGUGGUUCGCGUCCUGUCUUCCAGCCUGCUGAGCUCGGCGUUGGUCACCUUUACAGCCGUGCCCUGCGACGCGGGCUGUCGCGGUGAGCUGGGCGUUAGUGAUGAGCGUGUCUCACUAAGCAGUGUACUCGAGAAGCGGGCUGUAGGUGAUUCUUGCCUGUCCCUCGCACCCCCCCACCCCUCCUAUGUAGGUUGGAAGGUUAUCCAGGGAACUGCUUUAUCAUUGCUUUUUGUUUAGGAGUUGUUGAAACACAACACCCGACUGAGAGCACAUGAAGAAUGCCCUUUUCAGGAGAAAACAACCUGAAGAAGCUGUAGGCCAUGGGGAAGAGCUUGACUGCGUCUGGUCCUGGAACUCCCCGUGCCUGUGUCCCAGGCAGGCUCAAGGACUACGCCAGGGCCUUCCCAUAAGUGACCAGUGACAGCAUGACCAGGCUUCCCUGGGCUUUGAUGUUUGAAUUGGCAUGAAAUCCCAGUCCUAGAGGACUACUUUUCUUUUGGGUAUAAAUUAGUAAGCUCAAAGCAGUCAAAAACAUCAGGGAAGAUGGAGUUAAAAAAAAAAGGCAAAUUGAGGAAAAAGCCAUGCAGGGAUUUCAAAAUCUUUUGCACCAAAAUAAACUCGCCUCUCCAUUGUUCUCCCCGCAAGUUUUUGCAGUCUUCCUGUAUUUUGUCUUCACUUGAUUUGGGACCACACAGCCAUUUAAGAACAUAGGUACGAAUUCUGGCAGAAGCCGUGCACUCUGCGACGGCUUUUACUUCUCACACAUGUUCCAUGUGUAUGUUCCGUGUGUGUGAUGAUGUAGUCCUGAGGCCUGGAUGGCUGGGGCAGUGUCCUGUUUUCAUUGCUUUGGUAAUUGAAUGGCUCUGGGGAGGCUGCUUUACAAUACAAAUUUGCCUGCCGGGGAGGAGGGCAAUUAAGCGGUCGUGAUAGGCGUGCCCAUGGGCUGGCCCUCUGCCUGUUUGGUUUAGGGGCUUGAAGAGAAAGGAAUCAUCACACGCUGUCUGAUCCCGGUAUCUGUGUGUCCUGUGUCCUGGUGAGACCACGCGCUGUUUUGAGGGGGCUCUGGGCAAGGGCUGCCACCUUGUGGCCGUUCAUGGGAUCACCGCAGUCUGCAUGGGCGAGCCUGGACCCGGGCUGGGAUCACUUUGACUCUUCCUUCUCAGGGAGUGCUCACCUUAGGGUCCUGCAUACCCCCUGCCCCGCAGCAACGUCACCUGUUCUUCCUCUGCACCCAGAGCACCCACAGUGCGCUGCUAGUUGCAGAGAUUAGAAGGAGGUGCAAGAGAAGACAGGCUGUCUUUGUUUACGAUACAGUCAAGUGACCACACAGAGCACAAACACAGGGCCUGGGCCAGCGGGAGAGGCAGGAGAGACUCCAUGGAGUUCAGGAAGGGAGCCCAGGGAGACUGGGAGGUCUUUGAGCAGGCAGACGGAAGGGAGGGCGUCUCGAGGGCCUUUGUUGUAGGCAGGGCCCAGAGAUGGCCGGUCACCGCUUAGCAAGGGCGCAUGCGGAAGGCUGUGUUUGGGCUUUAUUCUGAAGCCAGGGUCUGGAUGUGGUGCGCCCUCUAGGGAAUAGGGCAGCCCUUGCCCCCCCAUAGGUGAGGGUCCUUCUGCAAGUUUUAGGCUGAAGUCUCGACUUUCUUCCCUGUAUGAGCUUAAUUGCUGCUUGUGAACCUGCUAGAAAUUCAUGCUUUGCAAUGUUGUACAGGACAAGAUUUUGUGAGGCAUGUUCCCUGGCUCUACCUCUCUCUCUCAGUAACUCUGCUUUUCAAAUAAAUAAAAAUAAUUCCUCAAAAAAAUAAAUCUUCGGGCCAGCGCUGUGGCAUAGUGGGUUAAGCCUCCGCCUGCAGCACCAGCAUCCCAUAUUGGCACUGGUUCCAGAUCUGGCCGCUCCACUUCCAAUCCAGCUCCCUGCUAAUGCACCUGGGAAAACAUUGGGAGAUGGCCCAGCGCUUGGGCCCCUGUGCCCAUGUGGGAGACCCAGAAGAAGCUCCUGGCUCCAGUCUGGCCUAGUGCUGUCCAUUGUGGCCACCUGGGAAGUGAACCGUCAGGAUGGGCGAUCUCUGUCUCUCUCUCUCUCUGUAACUCUGAUUUUCAAAACAAAUAAAUCUUCAAGAAAAAAGAAUAUGGAUUUAAACAUAAGUUAAUGGAAUACAUGCAGACAUUUUUAAAGCCUGCAUUUUAGAGUGUUAUGAAACAGCUUUUGGCUAUGGAAAGUAAACUUAGGAAAAUACUUAAUCCAGUUCUGCCAGUUUUAAAUAUAUUUCUGUUAUUCUUUCUGGGAGAAAAACUUAAAGGGCUGUUUGGAAAUUGGAAAUUUUGCGUGUUCCCCUUUUCGUCAUUCUUAGGGAUAUGAGAUUCUAAACCCCUGUCAUUUGGAAAGUAUAUUAAUAACAGAUGUGAUGGCCUAUAAUACACGUUGGUUAUACUUCUCUUGAAACCUGGUAUAAAAAUCUGGGUUUAUGAAGUAGACAAUCCAGGGGCCUUUGUAUGUUCUACAAGUCAUACCCUCAGCUCUUUCAGGAGGGUAGACGUGCCUGCGUUAAUUUGUGACAGUUCUGAUGUGUACACACAUUUUAUGGAUAUUCAGAAGUUUAGAGUCUUAGGAUCACUUUUGCUUCC